UUUUUUUUUUUUUUUUUUUUUUUGUUUUGAAGAUAAACUUAUAAUGUGCGGAACCAACUCUAUUCAGGUCUUUUGAUUUCCUAUUAAAAGUUUAUAGUGACUUUAUUUUAUGAAAAUGACGGUUCAAGUGGUCGAAAGGAUAAAAUUCGAAAACACCUUAAAGAUAACAGACCAAAACAGUUAAUUUUAACAUUGCACAUUUCGAAAACACCUUAAAGAUAACAGACCAAAACAGUUAAUUUUAACAUUGCACAUGCCCUAAACGUGACUAACUCCGUUAGAAUCUUUCAAUUUUCUAUUAGAGGUCCUGAAUUAUUAUAAUUAGUAGAGGUCCUAGAUUAUUAUUAUUUUUUUUAUAAAGAUAAGGGAUUAAAAUAGUCGUGGUUAUAGAUAAUAGGCUAAACUACCAAAAUCCUGAAGGCAUGGAACUAAAAUGGUCGUUUUCCCUAUUUAUAAUCUUGAAUCCUGUUUAUAUUUAGAGAGAGAGAGUGCAUGAACAAAAAGAGUUACUCAUAAAUCGGUAAGUCGUUGCUUGAAAAAAUAUGCUACUAGUAGGUGUAUUAAAUUUAAUAAAAAUGCUCAGUGUAUUCAAAUAUUUCACAAAAAGCAAACCUCAAAAAGAACAUCAAAGCAUUUUCGGAAAAGAAUUGUAUAGAUUUUCAAACGAUAUUAACCCUUUGCAUGAAAAAAAACAGAAGUUGUACAAUGAUUCAAAUUAAUUAAUUGGUAACAAUUUUUAUUUUGAGUUCAAUAUGCAAAACUUUACCUAAGAAGUUUGUCUGUUUACUUCAUUUUGACUACAUUCAUACCUCUUGUAGAACAUUUUUACAUGAAAUGCAUGUAUAACAAGUAGAAAAGUAUAUAGUGAGCACGAAAUUAGGAUAGAAAAUUUGUGAAAAACUGUUAAACAUGAUUUACUGUACAGGUGUAGUCUUCACUCUUCAGAUUAUUGUGAUAUAUCAUUCUAACAAGGAUAUUUUAUUUUUCCUCUCAAUUUUUGACGCUAAAUUUAAUUGUUACCAUCUCUCCACAAAAGUAUUUUAAAAUAUUCAUUAAAAAUAAAUAAAUAAAUCUUAUAUACACUAACACUAUAUAUGCGAUCAUCAUUGGAUUCAAGACAUGUGUGCAAAAGUUGGAAUUUAAUUUCAAAUUUUACAUAAUUGUCAUUCAGUAAAAACUGACAGUAUGUACACUAUUAUUGUAAUAAAAAUUAAUCUAAUUUAAGCACUCACAUACAACUUGUUGCAAAUUAUAGUUGACAAUUUUCGUAAUUCGUCUUUGAGAGUCCUAUUUACAUUAUAAUUUCAGCACAGUGCAGUUUGGACGCUCAACGACAAGAAAAUGUCCUGGUAAAUUCCGCAAAAUGUUCGAGGAAUACAGGUAAUGUAUCAGGAGUUGGGAAAUCAUCCAAUUUUGCAAAAGUUGAGGAUAAGAUAGCUUGUCAAUAAGUGUGGUUACUAAAAGAAGAACAUCCUGAGUGGGUUGCCAAACAAGAAAAGAAGACUCGUGACAGUUGUAUCUGUGAUCCCAGAAGGGAUUCCGAAGUCCAAGCUGUGCAAUGCGCGAACUGGGCUUUCGUUGUCAACACUUUCCGUAGCAGAAAUGCAAUUUGCAAGAAAUCACUUGCGCCCGUGCAUUUCCAAACAAUAUUUCGGGGCAUCUCAUUUUCUUGAGAAAACUACACAAGAUUAUCCUGUUCCAAUCUCAAGUAUGAUAGUGAAACUACAACCGGGCUAGAAAAGGAAAAGCUCUCUUCCAGGUCACGAGCAAACCAGAGGAUAGCGUAAACGACACUUCAUUCACCUGGCCUACGAUUUCGACGCAUCUAAUUGGCUUUUAUCCGAUAUUGCUAAUAUUUCCUCUUUUACUUCUAACCGUAUACUGCUGAGUUUCAAAAACAUUAUUAGACAUUACUUACACAGAACAAAUGCAAGAAUACAUUAUGUCAAGUAGGUAAUCAAGGUCAAUUUGCAAAAUUUCAGUUACAGUUUCAAAUUCCCAAAGAUACAGCACUUGUACAAAUUAUGAAUUAGUUGAAAUUUAGCAGCCGGACCACCCCAAAGCGAGUCAAUAAUGUCUUUCCAUAACUGAGAUAUCUAAGCAUCCAUAAAAAACACAAAGUUGAUCGUGAAGGCAAAGCAAGCAGCUGCGAUCCCAUUAUAGGACACCACAGGCCAAUUGUUCAACUGCCGGAGGACCACUUCAGUAACGCAACAGCGGAAGAAGCUUACACUUCCCAUCUCAACAUUCCACUUCUUCCAGUUGCCAGCUCAGGUUCCUCAUCAGGCAAUCAUUGUCUUCCACUAGCCAGUUCCUCCAAUAUAUUUGAGAUACAAGGCAAGAACUCAACGUCAAAAUCAAAGAAUACUUGCACAGCCACAUAAUCUGUCACUGAGUGUAGUCAUAUGAUGAUAUCGAGUCGUUGUUCAGCUUCCUGUUCUCAAGAAGGGGAGAGUUUCUGUAAGCCACAAUUAAGGCUGCCUUGCAAGUAAAAACGUUAAAGGCUAACCAAAUUUGUGGACAGAGGUGACAACCAUCUGGAAUGCCUUUUCGCUACAUAAAUCAGCAUCCAGGUCAAUCUUCAUGCAUAUCAUUUCCUUGUGGAAAUUCUUAACUAUAUUACAUCUUAGGCAACAAAAAGAUCAGGUACUAUUACGACUUCAAAAAAACCCAAAAAUAAACCAUAUGGAAUAGUUAUACUGGUAGACACGGAUGUAAAGAGGUACUGCAACCACCAAACCAAUCCACCUACUUCACUUACCCACCUUAAUCUGUAGGUUUCUCAUCCCCACACUCACCUUGUCAAUGGUAGGCUCACUUUUCACCUCAUUUUUUGUCAGAUUUUCCAUAUUUAGCCAUGGGUGUUGUAGACACUGCUGAGCAGUUGGUCUCUUCUCUGGUUCAAAAUCAAAAAGAGGACAAAGGAACUCUGCAAACUUUUUAGCAUCUGUCUCAGAAAAUUUGUACUUAUCAACAAGUAAUCGAUCAAGUGGCCAGUAUUUUAGCCUUCGGAUUCUCUUUAAAUCUCCAUAUCUAUCAAAGUAAUCCUUGGACCGAGCCCCACCAGUGGCAAUCUGUCUCAAGAAUAAAUUUGGAACAGAAAAUAAAAUCAGAAAUUAGAUUUCUUUAUCAAUGGUUUUCACCAAGAGAGAGGAGGCAGUAUAUAUACUCACCUUCCUAGGCAUCUUACCAAGGAGUUCCAUCAUCAAAGCAAGAUGAUCCUGCAUGCAAAAUAAACAAUAAAAAUGCAGACUCAGAUGAUAAAUCAAUAGUGAAGAUAUACUGCAAUGUUAGCUUAAAAUAAAGGAGAUUUGAAAGUGGUGAGAAAUCACUGGAUAAUCGUUGGGCUCCUAGUGGUAAUGUGCAAGUCAGCAGAUUUAACCUUUGGCAUUACUAAAAGCAUCGAGGUGUUUACCUCUAAAUUAGCUUGAGUUUUAAAAAUAUGUACUGAGAAUUUUUCUUAAAAAGCAGAAAAAACAACCAAGAUCAAGACCAUAGGUUAUCCAUGACAAGAUGUUUUUAUUAACAAAAAAACCCAUUGAACUAUCAAUAUGGCUUUCGUGUAGAAGCAAACUUUCAUCCUUUGUUCUCAUUUUCUCUUUGCCUCUAAAUUGCCUCUAAAGAAAUCCAAGAAACUUAACACCUCACAUGCAGGCAGGAAGAAAACUUUUAAAUUAUUGGAUUAUGUAACAAGACAACGCAUGAAGUCAAAAUAUUUCCACUACCUCAUCAUCACUGUAACCUUGUCCUUCUUUUGGAGUAAACAGCAUUUCACCAGUAGCAAGCUCAACAGCAGUACAAGCGAAUGACCACAUGUCAGCAGAAAAAGAAUAUCCUGAUCUAAGUAUGACUUCUGGAGCUCUGUACUGUCUAGUUUGAAUUUCUUCGGCAAAUUGCUUAUCCGACCAACAUGCGUUUCCAAAAUCCACGACCUUACAUCUGACAUCGAUUCCAUCCAGGGAUCUAUCUGGCUUGGGGGUUGUUCCUACCCCACCCAUUGAAGCCCUUCUUUCUGAUAUCCUAGCCACUGCUCUUCUUGCCCUUUGUUUGAGCUUCUUCUCAACAAGAUUUAUUGCUGCACCACCAUUUUGGUUCCCCUCUGGCCUUUCAAGAAUGGGUGUCAUUCCUGAUUUAACUGGGUCUUUGGAAGGAUUAAUGGUAGAACACAGGAGAAUAUUUUCAGGCUUUAAAUCUGUAUGUAUAAUUCCAAGCUCCCUAUGAAGGUAAUCAAGUCCAGUCAAAAUGCAUUUGCAUAUUUCCCGAACCUUAUUCAACUCAAGGCCUUUGUAGCGGUUAUAUUUGAUCAGCCGCAGCAAGCUAUCACCGAGAAAUUCCAGGACCAUGCAUAAAUGCUGUCCAUUUGGGCCUGCGUGCUUAAAGUGGUCUACUAAGCGUAUGACAUAUUUGCUAUUAGAGGCAUCACCAUCAGCAAUAGCAGAAAGAAUUUCAAUUUCGUGGAGCGCAGCUUGAGCAAAUUGUGGAGCACUUUUUUGGAUCUUCAGAGCAACAUAUCUCUGUAUAAGGAUGGAAAAAAUGAAAAACAAUGAUCAGCACCAGAAAAGCAUCCAGCCUGAUAUAAAUAGGACACUUUAGACAUAGACAAGUGAAUUUACCAAAAGUUUAUCUAAAACAUACCAUUAUGCAAGGCAAGUUGAAAUGGUUCAGAGCUCCUCAACAUAUACACAUUGUGCAUUACCUCAAAAAUAGAAACUAACAGGCUGCCGACUAAUGACAAUAUUGACAUUAUUAUUCUUUCAUCAUUUGUCCAUUUUAGCUAAGACUGACAAGAAACUGAAUUUGCAAACCACUUUAAUCCAAUUAAAAACUUGUUAUCAAGAAUUCAGGCAUCAGCACCAAAACUGCUUCACGAUGCCUAUUUACAUCACUAUAUUUAGUUUAAAUCCUCAGCAACCAGUGGUCGUGAUAAAUGCUAGAAAACAAUUUCAAAUGAUCAUCAAACAUAUUUGGGGAAGGGGGAAGGGGGGAGGGGGGAGCUUUUAGUCCGCAACCACAAGCACCAGUAACUUCGUACGUAAUUCAAAGCUAUUCCAACUGCUAAGGACCUCUAAGCUCACAUUUCCAAAUCCAAGAAGAAAUUAGCGCAGAUAUUAAGCAUUUAAGCCGCAUCACAGGUGAAACACCGACACAGCAUGCAUUGAAAUCUUCAGUGAAGCUUAAGAAAUGAUACUACUAAUACCUUUGUACCUAAUUUAGAUACGGCUGCCUGCCAGACGAAUUUAAAAUAUUUAAAACAAAAUAAAAGAACUAGAAUCCAGCUCUCUGAUCAAAUGAUUAAUAAGGAAAAGGAAAAAAUUCGAUAACAUUAUCAUAUAAGCACCUGAUCAUUUCAAAUAAUAAAUUCAUAGCAUAUUUCCGAAUUUGGCAGCAAACACAAAGAUUCCGAAUCAAAUCAGUCCACAAUAAUUCUAAAAAAAAAUUACUUUCAUAACUGCAGCAGCAUACACGGUGAUCUCCAUUUAAAUAAUUCUAAUGUCAUUCAGUUUAUGAAUUAAAAACUACAGUAUGCAAAUUAAGUCAAGAAUUAAACGGAAAACGUACAGAUGAUCGAGUAUCAUAAGCCAGCCAAACGGUGGAGAACUGUCCCCAGCCGAGUUUACGCUGAGCGAUGUAUCGUCCACCGGCGAACGAAUCGCCGACUCGCACCGCGUGGUAUCCACCUUUUCUGUAAGAGUCAAUUCCCUCAUCCUCAUCCUCCGACGCCGACGACGAAGAACAGGACAUGAUUGAUCGAUGUAUAUAAUUUACUGCAAAAGCCGAUCUCUCCAGAAAUUGAUCUUCUUCGCCUUCUUAUCUCCAAAUUACAGCAGAAAUGAAGCUGAAGCAAGCUAAAAAUCAGAAAAUAAUUUAGAACGGAAUGAAAGACUUGAAAAAAAAAGUGGGAGAGAUAUAUUCAGAGGAAACUGAAAAGAAGGAAAAGAACUGAUUUAUGUUGCUUUGCGAGUUAACUGUUUAGUAUGGCAUGUGGCCUUCAACACAAGGCUUCUCCUGUUUUUGCUCUUGUUUUUUCUCUCUUUUUUCCCCAUUUUUCUAAUAUAUAUUUUUUAUUUUUAUAAUUUUUAGUGGAACUAAAUCAGGGUGAAGGGGUUGAAUUUGCUUUCCGACUUUACCCAUUUUGGGUUAAUGUGGGAAGUCUACUUUUUAUGGUCCUUGCAUCUACGAUUGUAAAAUACUUCUAUCUACUCAAGUCAUACACCCAUAUAUUUUUACGAUGGAUUAUUUAUAGACAUGAAAAUUGGACUUGGCUCAACUAAUUUUUUGGAUCUGAUUUUGGCUUUUGAUUUUUAAAAAUCUCAACUCCUUUUAGAAAUCUGAUUUUAGAUUUUUGUUGGUCCAAAAAAAACUAAAAGUCAUAAUCAGGUUUGGGUUGUGUUUAUGGUUCUAAUUCUAGAUUAUUUUCUUGUGUAAAUAAAAAUACCCUCACAAUUUUAGUAUAAUCACUAAAGUGUCUACAAGUCAGAUAAUCUCUCAUUCCUCCAGUACUAAUCCCAAUCUCUUUUAUAUUAAUCCAAUUCUCGUGUAUGUUUGAUGGCGGAAUAAAAAAGGUGUAUUAGUUGGGGUGGAGCGAUCGAUGGGGAAGAUGUUGAUAUGCCUUAGCCAACCGCCAUCUGCUUUAAUUAAAUAGGGAAAACAAAUGAUUAAGGUGGAUACUAUACCAUUAAUUAAUGAUAAUCUAUGUAUGCUGAAGACACAGAAGAGCGAAUUCAAAUACAAAAUUUUGUUGCACGCAACGAAUAAAAGAUUGUUGAUGUGGAGUUUGUGCCUUUAGCUCUUUCCCCCCCCCCCCCCCUUUUUUUUCUAGGUAACAUUUUUUUUUCCUAACGAAGUGGAUGUUCGGGUCAAUCCUUACAGGAUCCGAUUAAUCCCACUCCGAUCCGGAAAAAGAGGCCCCAUCCCUCGAAUACAAUAAUCACAGAAUUCGGACCCUUACAGGCACUGGACACCAGUUCCUAAAGAGACUUGCUGAGACCAACCGAGUUAUCCACGAAGGACAGACAAUUUGGUGGGAGACAAGGAUUGAACCCCUGACAUCCCACCCCAUCAGGAGAGGUGGUGGCUACUAAAUUCAAGCAGGAGAGGCAAGGUUUUUUUUUUUUUUUUUCUAGGUAGCAUGGAUUGAUAUCUUUUGAGAUUCGAGAUUUUACCAGUACAGUCACUUCUACCCCGUAUUUCAUAGGUUCGUGCAUUUGCGGUAUUUGACAGACGACACUUGUGUAAUGGAGCCUAAUUCUGUCGUGUUAAAAUUUGGCUUGAUCCAUUAAUCAUUUCUAAUAAUUGUGUUGAGGUUGAUUGCACUUUUUCUGCGGCCAAUUAAUUUGUUUUUAAUAUGUUUAUGCUUGUUGAAGCAAGUUGAACCCAACUUCGAUAUUUAAUGACUAAGGUGAACCUUGACCGGAAUUAGUUGGAUUAGUUCAAGAACCAACCCUUAAUUAGCAUUUAAUGUAUAGUCUCCGCUUGAGUCAAGUGUCAAAUAAAAGAUCCCGUUUAGAUUAUUAUCUUUAACAUUUUUUUAUAAAAAAAAUAUUAUAACGAUUUGAUGUAUAUAAGAUAAAAAAUAUUAAUUUUUUUCUCAAAAAAUAGCAAUUCAAAUAUCCAACAUCAUCCUUGACUGCAUUAAAUAACAAACAAAGAAAUAACUUUAAAGGCCAAUUGCAGACUAGGACAGGAGAUUAUUUGCUCAAAUUUAUUUGCUUACAUCAUUGUUACAAUUUUCAAUACACCUUUUUAUCUUCCCAAUUACCUUUUUAUCUCAUAUAUAUCACAUCACAAAAAGUGUUACAAUAAAAAAUAUCUCAAAUAAUUUACAAUUCAAACACACUCUAGAGGUUUGUUUGGAUAGGAAGUUAUUUGAAAUGUUUAUUUGAUUUGGAAAGUAAGUUAUUUGAAAUAAUUACUGUAGCACUUUUUUUACGAUUUAAUAUAUGUGAGAUAAAAAAAAUGACUGGAAAUUGUGUAUAUGAUGCAAAUAAAACAAAAUCUGAAAUUUUUAUUUGAAAAUCUUGCAAUCCAAACAAACCCAAGAGUGUGACUCCCGAUAUUUAAAGGUCAUGAUAAAUCCUCGGUAAUUAUAUUGAACCGUCUAAAACUAUUUGUCCAUUUAAGCCACUCACCCCAAGGGGAGGGGGAGUGAACAAUUAGCUGUUCAAGUAUACCAGAACAAUAUAACACCUUCUGUAGUCCAUCGUAAAUUGUUUGUAUAAUAUUAUAGCAAAUAUGUUAAAAUUAAUUAUUAUUUACGUGAAUUCUAUAUAUAAUUAUGCGUAUCAAAACUUCGUAAAGUUGUUAUAUUCAUUCUUACAUUUAAAAAUUUUGAGCCAUCAUUGAAUUUGUUUGAAUUUUAGUUUAAUUUUUAUUUACUUGUAUCAUUAACAUACUUUUAAUUAUCUGUUUUAUUUCACGUAUAUUAUGUCAAAAAAGUGCUAUAAUAUAUAUAUUUUUUAAAGUUAUAUCCAAUAAUCUACUAUCCAAAUUAUUGUUUGGAACUAGCCCUUUGUUCUCAUCCUAAAAAGGGCGCAGCGUUGCAAUGAUUAACAUUUUGUAUUUCGAGUCAUGAAGGUCAAGUCACAGAUAGCGUUGAAGCUGAAGUGUAUAGCUUUUACAUGGCCAGAGCGGUCCUGAGCUUUUACACUUGGGGCCUUGAGCCAUAAUGACGAUUGGAAACGUGUUACUUGGAUAAAGUUUAAGAAUAAUUUAAAGCUCAUCUUGUUCAUAUCAGUGAUAAAUAGUCCAGGUAAGGCAGUUUUGGAGUAGUUAGUGCUAAGGAUUUUUUUAAUAACUGCUGUUGUGUGGCUUAAUCUAUUGCUCUCAUCCUUUAUCAACCUAUACUUUAUGCAAAAGAAAGAAAAAGAACAACGAUAGUGGGCAUAGUUAUGCACUAAUUGCUAAAGGGGAACUUCUCAAGCUUGAUACCACUGUGGCAUUACUAAGAAGAAAAUGCCAUAUUCUUAUGCUACAAAUACACUCUGUUUGGAUUAGGUUUUAUAUAUACACUACUAGUUUUUCAGAUAUAAAUCCAGAAUAACACUUCUAAAUGUAUCUCAAAAACACCUGAAUACAUCAAUCAAAGAUACUAAAAAAUAAUAAUUAGAAAAAAUUACGAUUCAUUUUUUUCCUCUAUUACCAUUCCUACUUCUGUCACCGCCGCUAUCACCAUCCCUCUUUCCAUUCUUCACCUGUCCAUUUUCCCUCUCCUUCUCCCCGCCACCUCCACAUUUGUUUGAUCUAUCUGUCAAAUCAAAGGACAAAAAAAAAAAAAAAAGACUUAAAUAGUGAUUUGUUUCUCUCUUUCAUCAUUUUUUUAUUUUAUUUUUUUACCUUUUCAUAUAUCUCUACACCUUUCUCAUUCCAACUAUCAGAUUCAGAAUUCAAAAUUUGAACUUGACAAUAAGAACAACUCUAAAAACCCUCCUUGAUGAGAAGAACUCUUCCAUCUUUUUAUUGUGGGUAAAAAACAAAAAAAUCCCCUGUGGUUAGUCUAAUACACAGAAAAGUCCCCCAUGGUUUCAAAAUAUACAACACGACCCCUCAUGCUUUGAACUAAAUUGUAAAGGUGACAAAAUCCGUUAAACUUAACGGAAAUGGACGAAAUGACCAAUAUGCACUGAUAUAAUUAAGCAAAAGACAGCUAAAAAAAAUCAUUUGUUUUAUUCUCUAAGUAGAGAGAAUUGAGGGUUAAGGGGUAGAAUAGGUAUAUUUGAUAAAAAUUAGGCAUAAAAAAUUUUUUUUAGGUUCCGUUAAGUUUAACGGAUUCCGUCACCUUUAUAAUUUAAUUCAAAAUAUGAGGUAUUGUAUUGUAUAUUUUGAAAUUAUAGGGGGUUUUUCUGUGUAUUAGGUUUAUCACAGGGAGCAUUUUUGUUUUUUACCCUUUUAUUGUAAUCUCACAAUUGAGAAUUUCUUGUCUCAUUAAUUUUUUAACCAUUACUCUCGACUCAUCUGACAUGGGCUGAUCUUGUGCAAGUUGGACUAUAGAAGACAAUUCGAGCAAUAGUCCAAACGAUAAACAAGUCCAGUCCACGACAUGGCGCUACGGACAAUACUGAACCAGACCAUUUUCUUUUUAACUCCCACCAAAAGAACCAUCGUCCCAAAAUUUUGCUAAAUAAUAGUAUGCAAAACCAUCCCUCCCAAUCACUUUUGGCAAUUUUAUCAGUCGAAUUUGACACUUUUGCCAAUCACUUUUGGCAAUUUAUCAUUAAAAGAGAUUUUAGGUGUUAAUUUUUGAAAAUACGUGAUUAAUUUGAAAAAUUAUUUAAGGGAUUCAAUAUUUGUGAUUGUGCGUAUUCCAAUGAUUUAUUAAGUGUAAUUUAAUUGUAUUAACUAGUGCUCACUAGAAAAAAUUAUUUCCUUUUUAUGUCUUUUUUUUUUCAAUAUUGAAGUAGUAGGUAGUACCCCUUCUUUAAUCAAAAUUAAUUGUCUAAUAAAACCAAGGAGCGUAUUUGGAAUUUUGGAUAGACAAUUUUUUGGAGAAACUUUUUUAGUUGCGAAAUUAAGUCGAUUCAUAAUUAUUUUUAAGAUUUUUAAUCAUUUUAUCUCAUACAAAAUUUUCAUUCCCACCACUCUCUUGCUAAAAAAACUGAUAUAAAUUACAUUUUUUCAAUCCCACUUAUUUUUUGUUAAAAAAACUGAUUUAAAUUACGUGACAAGAAGUGAUAUAUUAUCGUUACAGAAAAUUGUUGUUCCAAACAAUCUUCCGUCCAAACAGAGUUAGUAAAUUAAAAUCGCUAUCGCCCCUCCAGGUUCGGUCCCAUGGUUGUAGUCCCAGUUGGGGAGAGUCACGUCCAGGGAUCGAAUCCCGGUUCUACCGUGACCGGUGACGCUUGGGGCAGGCCUCUCCCAACCCGUAAUGGGAUUAGUUGGGUCGUACGGUAACCAGUCCACGGACCCAGAUACCCACUAUGAAGAAAAAAAAAAAAUCGCUAUCAUUUGCAAGAAUCCAUAUGAAAAUUUCCACUACUGCAAAAAAAAAAAAAACUGCAAUAAACAGGCUGUCCUACACUCCUACGCUCCAAGCCCAAUUUCCAACACUACCCCUUUGUACAACUCGAUUUCAUGCAUGCAUCAUGAUACAUCCCUUCAGUCACAUCGAACAGGAAACCCCACCAGCCACCCAUUACAUCAGUUCCCCAUCAGAACCAGGGGUACAUCUGUAAAUCUAUCCACCAUUAUUUCCUCCAAUUUGCUAGAUCCUUUUAUUUUUCUUCGCCUCGCCCGAAACAGAAAAUAAUCCAAAACAAACCCCCAGCCUGGGUCAAAUCUUUCCGUCAAUUGUCAAAAAUUAAAAUAAAAACCACGCACCUUCACCAUUGCACUGUGAUUUGUGCUCUCCAUCGAAAGCACCAAAUAAAAAAAAAAAAAAGAAAAGAAACCAAUCCCCUCUUCCAUCGCCGGCCAACCAACGGCGGCGCUCCGCCGUCAAUAUAUAGUCUUUCAACAUCAAUUCACAAUUACAUCAUUCGUCUGUUGAGACGGUGUCGUCGGAUCGUUUAAACCCUUGCUUCCUUCCAUUUUUAUUUAUGCGGAGAAAUGAAUUUGCAUGGAUUCUAAUUGAGUAGAUCCUUCUCGAUCUUCGGAAUCGAAUUGAGCUGUUUUUUAUUUUUGGUGACGAUUCGAUUGGGGAAAAUGGCGCAGAGUCAAACGCAGGCUCCGAAUAUGGAUCAAUUCGAGGUAUAUUUUAAGAGAGCAGAUUUGGAUCAAGAUGGUCGGAUCAGUGGAAGCGAGGCCGUGUCCUUCUUUCAAGCCGCAAAUUUACCUCGACAAGUACUCGCUCAGGUUCGUACUACUUCCCUACUAGGCUACUGCUGCUUAUGUUUUGUUCCAUUCUCAAUAUACUGAAUUUUGCUGCUCUUUUAUUUAUUUAUUUGUAAUUUUCCAAAAUUAGUUCUUUUUUGGUGUAUUUCUUGGUGGUUGUAUUUCAUAGUAAAAUCACGUGCUUUAGUAUAAAGUGUAAAAUUUGUGUUCUUGUAUGUGAGAACCGGGUGAGAGUGGGUUAACUGUGAUUUUUCAGCUUCGUAGCUACUUUGACAGAAGUGGAGCUCGGGAAAUAGGUGGUUAGGCUACUGGGAUAAGUUGCAAUCUUUUAUAAAUUAUGGCUGUCAUCCCUAAAGGAAGAAAGGUAGAAAAAGAGAGAUGUGCUAAUAAGGAGUAUAUCGAGAUGCACAUGGUGCAAGAAAGAUCGAAUAUGGCAGUGUGGAUUCUUUGUGCGCUCUUGGAGAUAGACCUUAAAGCUUGAAAUUUGUGGUUUUUACCCUUUUUCUGAAAUUGGUUUUUGUUUUCUCAUAUUUUUAGUCCUUGAUGAGAGAUGUAAAUGGUGUGGUGAAUGGUUUUUCUGGAUUUGAAAGUCGUAAAUAGUAGUAUGUUCAAAGUGGUGAAUUCCAGAUUGCUAAAGCCACAAAUGUUGGCAUGGAUGGAAAGGGAAUAAGGGAUGCAUCUUGCUUACCUUGCUCCCUCCUAAAAGAAAUGGAAACACGCAAUAGUCUUUGCUUGAUGCUACAUGUAGGAUAAGUUUGUUUGGUCGAUAUAAGGUUUGCAAUAAAUGGAACAGAGAAAUAGGUGCCUUUGACUUAGUUAUGUGCUCCUCUUGCCCUUGCGGUGGCAAAUAUCUUCUUCUGUUCAUCUCUUUAUAUGUCUUCCUUUUCACAAGUGUGCCCAGCUACCCACCCCCCCGCAGACACAGAGAUUUUGCUUAAGACAUGCAUGUUUUUCUGAUUUCACUUUCGGUCUAAGUGAAUUAUGUAGCAUUACUGUAUGAUAAGGUUAUGUAAUGCUUGAUUCCACGAGAUUUUAUUUUGAACAGCAUAUAACUGUUUAAUAGAUGUGUAUACUUUCGUGUAACAGUUGGCAAUAUUUGAUAUGUGACUAAUAUUCAGGAUUUCAUGUGAUUUUAUCAGCUUUUGAUGGUUUUGUCUUAGGUAAAACUCUAAUACGCAGAGAGUCCUAGAGGCUUGUAUGGGCUUAUUUUAUUGUGUAUGUAAAUGUCCCUCAUUAUUUUUCAAUACUCUUGCUAGCACCUGCUUUUUUCCUGUUAAAAAUCAAUACGGCACUAUUGUUUACAUAUUCCUCUCUUUCUUGCUAAUGUUAAUUACAGUUUCAUUUUCAAAUUUUUGUAUUUUUGUGUUAAUGGUGUAAAGUUAAUCUUAAGUAUUCUAUCGUAUUAUUUUAGAUAGAGGACUACCACUAUUAACACAUCGCUCAAAUACUGUCCUUUGUCUGUUCACAAUAUCAUGGAAGAGAGAAAUAGGUAAAUACUGAGUUUGCUACUUAUUUACGAGUGGGAACAGGUAAGGACUAGCAAAAGUGGUUUGUUAUCUUAUUUUAGUAGUGCUGGAACUUAUUGCUGACUUCUUUCGAGUGUGAUAUGUGCUUAUGAUUGCACCUGUUGCAAAACCACGCUCCAAAAUGUGUAUUUAGUAUGUUAGGACUCAUAUAUACCAAAGUAAUUGUUAUUUCACCAUGUGGUUCAUGGUGCAUAAUCAUGCCCAUGCUUUGUUAGAAAGUUUAAGGUAGUGAAAGUGAUAAUUGCUAGUUGUGUUCGCUUUUCAUGCUACAUUUAUUAUUAUUUUUUUAAUGCGCAAACAGUGAUCUGGUGUUCUGUGUCUCAUGGAGCAUUCUUUAUUAAUGUAACUUCAACUUAAUUUUACUCAUUCAUUUUUGUUUGGUUGCCAUGUUCCAGUUAGUGAUUUGGAUUCUCAAACUGCAGACCUGCAAUUACCUUUAUUAAACAGAUCGUUUUUCUGAAGUGUAAUAAUAGGAACAGGUCAAUUUCAGUUUUAUUUCUAUUUGCAUUUAGUUCUGCUUUAUGGCCUAGGCAGGGCCAGUCCAUUAAUGAUAUUGAGGUUUGAGCACCUUUUUGGGUGAUUUCCAUCUGAACAAUUGGAUCUCAUUUCUAAUAUAAGAUCUUUGUCCUUUAUCCAAUCAAUUAUGCUGUUGUCUUGUCGAAAUGUACUGCUGUUGUUUAAUUCUUUUUCUAAUGAGGCAUGAAUUUAAAAUUGUGAAUGAGUUUGUUAUGUAUAUAUUUGCAAAUGUUUAGUGAUACUACAUUUCUGUUAUUUUCAACUUUGUUUACAUGAAAUAGAAUUGUUUACAGUUCAUAUGCUGCUUUUUGAGAUUUGAACAUUACAUAUUUGAAAUGACUACUUUUGUGGUUUUUCGCAGAUAUGGACGAUUGCUGAUCAAAAUCGAACUGGGUUCCUUGGUCGUCAAGAAUUUUAUAAUGCUCUUAAGCUUGUUACAGUAGCUCAAAGUAAGCGAGAGUUGACACCAGAUAUAGUAAAAGCUGCAUUAUAUAGUCCAGCUUCGGCAAAAAUUCCUGCUCCCAAAAUUAACCUUACACCUAGCCCAGGCACUCAAUCAAAUUUUACAGCAGGGUCUGCUGUCCCACCACAAAGUGCUACCGCUGCAGUGCCACCUCAAACUAUUGGCAUCAGGGCCUCGCAGGGACUUACAUCUCAGCAAAGUCAAGUUAUGAGGCCGCCUCGACCCCCACUUCCUAGUGCUACUUUUCAAUCUCCACAAGUUGUUGGCGGUCCACGAAUGCCUCAUCAUGGAGGUAUCGUGCCGGUUUCUAAUCCUCCAAGUUCCUCUCCAUCCCUUGGUGAAAACAAUGGUGUCUCCCAGGCUGGACUUUCUUUUCAAUCAAAUAGAAGUGUGGGACCUGUAGGGCAGGAUAGUUUUGCGGUGGCUGCAUCUGGAUUACCACCUUCUACACAACCUGGAGCACAAGCAGCCUCUGUCUUGCAACCUGCUUCAUCUAAACCAAGUGAUACUUCAGUCAGUAACCUUGUGGAAGUGAAAGAUUCCAAAGCAGUUGCUGUGGCUUCUAAUGGAUAUGCACCAGACUCACUUUUUGGAGAUGUCUUUUCAGCUGCACCUAUUCAAACAAAACAAGAUUCUACCAAAGUUACAUCUGGUGUUAGCAGCUUACCUGUAUCAUCUGCAAUUGUUCCAACAUCUAUGGGAGUGCAAACUGCAGUUACAUCUAGUCCCCUUGAUUCUACCAAUGUUACAGCUGGUGUUAGUAGCUUACCUGUCUCAUCUGCCAUUGUUCCAACUUCAUUGGGAGCACAACCUCCUGUGGGUAGUCAACACCAUCAAGGACAGUUACCAGUGAAGCCAAACCAACAAUUUUUGACACAAGCAUCCCCUGCAUUGCCUUCUGGAGCUGUAAAUUCUGCAGGUUGGCCAAGGAUGACUCAGUCUGAUAUUCAAAAAUAUAGCAAAGUGUUUAUGCAAGUGGACACUGACCGAGAUGGAAAAAUCACUGGUGAACAGGCUCGCAACCUUUUCCUCAGUUGGGGGCUGCGAAGAGGUGUGACGGCUUCAUUUGAUGCAGAAACAAACACAAGCACACAUGCACAUAUGUUUAUAUGAAUUUUUCUUCUUUUGUUGUUUCUAUAGUGUUGUCCUUGCUUGUGGUUUGCGGUGAUUGUAUGAAGCAAUGUUACUUUACUGGUUCAGUGUGUAGUAUCUACUUGUGCUAUCUGCUGUCCACGAAUUCACCAUUUCUUGUUAGUUUUAAAAGAUCAUCUAACUUCAACUGGUGCAUUAUCUCCAUGACUUAAUUUUGAUUAUCACUCUCCUAUAAAGCUUGGAUUGUUGUAUGGAUGGUAACUCAUGGAUGUGGUCUUUCAAAUGAGACAUUCCUUGAUUACAAAUAGAUCCUAUCUUGGCGAUUUCAUUUUAUUGCAAAAAUAACCAGUGACUGGUGAGAAGCUAUUGAACCUUUAAAAACCCCUCAGUUCUAUUUUUUGCUUGAGAUAUGCCCUUUAAAACACUGAUAUCUUGAGUGAACUGUCCGUAGCAUCUGGCACAAUCCUUUCAACUCAUUUGGUUUUGGGGCAUGUUUUAUUUUAGUUAGGAAAAUUUAUGAGGUUCAGUCAUAAGAAGUUAAGGUAUAGUGUUCUUUCUCCUCUGUUCUUGUCAGUUUUGGUCUGAAUUGUCUGUUUAUUGUAAAAGGUGUGACUCAGUUGUGAAAUUAAAUUGUUUUGAUGUGGCUUUUAUUCUUGCCGAAUUUGGUUCUGAUUCUUCAAAUGUUUUUCCCCUUAUGUGCUGUCAUUAAGUUAUUCGUUUUUGCUAAAUAUCUUUUGUUGAAUAUUAGUAUCUCUUGGUCUUUCAGAGGUGUUAAAGCAAGUAUGGGACUUGUCUGAUCAAGACAAUGACAGUAUGCUUUCCUUGAGGGAAUUCUGCGUUGCUCUCUAUUUCAUGGAACGGCACAGGGAGGGUCAGCCCCUUCCUACUGUGCUCCCAAGUGGUAUCAUGUUUGACGAGACAACAUUACCUGUCAUGAACCAACCUGUUGCACCUCAAGGAAAUACAGUUUGGAGAGCUACUUCAGGUAGUCACAUUUAUUUUUAUUUUUAUUUUUUUUUCCAUUACAGAUGAUUCUAUCCAAUGUUAGCUAGAUCCAUGAUCCAUUUCAUUUGUAUUAGCUUUUCAGCAACCACAUUCUACGAAGCCGCCUCCUGGGAAGCCACCUCGUCCCGUUCCUGUUCCUCAACCUGACGAUUCCGUGCACCCAAGUCGGCAAAAACCUAAAGUUCCUGUUCUGGAGAAGCAUCUUUUGGAUCAACUUAGCACAGAGGAACAGAAUGCACUGAACUCAAAGUUUCAGGAAGCGUCUGAUGCAGAAAAGAAGGUCAGUUUUGAUUUUUCUAUGACACGCUAUUGUUAGCCCAUCUCCUUGUUCUAUUACCUUUUGGGUACACAGCAGUCAUGAACAUAUGCCAGCAGAUGUAAUGUUAUCUGAUUUUUAUUCUGUUUUUUUGUUCUUUUUUUGUUUUUUUUUUUUGGGGUGGGGGGUGGGGGUUUCUUGCUUGAUGAAGUUGCUGGAUCUGUAGCUUUGGUUCUGCCCUCUGAAAUACCUAUGUGGAUUUGUAACCUCAUGUAGUUGCAUCCCUUUUCAUCUUAACAAUAUAAGAACUGAAUCCAACUAUUGUUUCCGAUGAAAUUGGUCUGUUUUGCCACCUGGAAUAACAGAUGAUAAGCAAAAUUUCCACAUUAUUCUUCUGUUUUGUCAAUUUCAGGUAGCAGAAUUGGAGAAGGAGAUACUAGAUGCUAGAGAGAAAAUUCAGUUCUACCAUGCAAAGAUGCAAGAACUUGUGGGUAUCUUUUCUCCUCUGUUGGACAUCAUUUGUCUGUUUAAAUUUAUGUCCUGAACAUUUAGCAGAUUUGAUUUGUCCAUUGUCAUAAUUUAAGUUGGUCUUAUUUCUUGUUUUGAAGUGGGUUACACAGUAUAAAAAUCUUAGUAGUUGAGGCUUCUUCAAUAUCAAGACUCAAAUAUUACACUAUUGAUAUCGGUGAAAGAGCAUUAAUGGCAUCUAUUCUGUUCAUUCCAUUGAUUCCAGAUCCUGUACAAAAGUCGAUGUGACAAUCGACUGAAUGAGAUCACUGAAAGGGUUUCUGCUGAUAAGCGAGAGGUAGUCCCUUUGAUUGUGGCAUCAGUUACUCUCUCUUGUUUUCACUGGCUUUUGCCUAAGAGAAGUGUAUUGUUGUUAAGGUGGAGUUACUGGGGAAGAAAUAUGAAGAGAAGUAUAGGCAGGCAGGAGACGUGGCAUCCAAAUUGACAAUAGAAGAGGCCACAUUUCGGGACAUUCAGGUAGCUUUCUGGAUUCUUUUGCUAAGUGCUUCUGCUAUAUAUGUCUGCUAUUACCUUCUUCAUGUUUCUUUCAACUUCUAAAAUCUAAUUGUACUAUUCUUAAUAUUGCUUGAUAAAGCGCAUUUACAAAUGUAAUAUUGUGCUUAAUCCUUUGCAGGAGAAAAAGAUGGAGCUUUAUCGAGUAAUUGUCAAAAUGGAACAAGAUGGUGGCGCUGACAGUAUUCAGGUACUUUUUACAACUGAGAGGUUUCUUGCUAAUAAGAUAAGCUUAUUUUUUCUGAUCCCAAUUUUGGCAUUCACAGGAACGUGCUAAUCGUAUCCAGUUGGAUCUUGAGGAGCUAGUAAAAUCACUGAAUGAACGUUGCAAAACUUAUGGAUUACGUGCCAAACCAACCUCACUAGUUGAGCUUCCAUUUGGUACUUUCAGAGUCAUAAUUCCCCUUGGCCUUGCUGCUGAUCUUCAAUAUUUUAUUUGAUUUAUUUAUAUACUGAGUUGCAGUCCUAUUUUACAGCUAGACAAGCAAAACGUAGAUUUAAAACUUAAGUGUAAAAAGUUUGAGUUAUAGCGUAUCUCUUAUUGCCUCAGUCGAUGAUUCUGUUUCCUGGUCAAGAUGAUUGUGAAUAUUUCAUGGCUGCAGAACAUCUAAUCAAAUGAAAACUUGUCAGUGCCCUUGCUGGUUUGAUUUAUUUGGAAAUAUGUUAUCCCCACCUCUGGCAUCCCCUUCCCUGUUUAUGAAUAUGUCCAAUUUAUUAUUAUUCCUAGAAUCAUGCAUGUGAUUUUCUUUAUUGAGGCUGACCUGUUUGCCUGUUGAAUUUGUUCAAGAACACAUGAGUUUGCUAGUUAAAAUUCAAGUUAUUUAAGUUUUUCUUGGCCAUUUUCUGAAGUAAACCAAUAUAACCAAUAAAAGGACUGAAACUGCUGAAGAUGUUCUAUACCAAGCUGGGGAAGUUGUAGAUCUCUCUUUAUGAUGAUCUUAAUACUUGUUCUAUAAAUAGUUGCCUUUUCAUGUUAUGGUUCUGUCUGUUAAAGUUGUAAGUUGAUGAUUUCGCUUGAGAUCCAGUAUCAGUACAACUGGUAUUUGGUAGCUAGGUUGGGGAUUGUAGCUAAUAGGUGAAUCUGGAAAAAAUUGUUGACCUUUUUCCUGUUUCCAGUUUGCCAGUUUUGACUGUUCCGCUUUAUAUUUUACACUGCUGCACAUUUGUUUGAAUUCAUCCAUAAAUUGUGUAUAGUGCUUUACAUGAUUCAAUUAUCUUUAAGGUUGGCAACCUGGCAUCCAAGGAGCAGUAGCUGAUUGGGAUGAAAACUGGGAUAAGUUUGAAGAUGAAGGUAAUUUUGAGUAGUCAUUUUUAGUACUUAGUUGAUAUUCACUUACAUUAGAAGUAUGUCUUCAUGGGGUACUCGUCUUUGAGACUCUAAAACAGACUAUCCAAUACACUUGAAGUAAUUUCCAAAUGAUGAGUCCUACUCAUUGGUUGGUUGUUUUUUUGACACUUCAGGGUUUUCAUUUGUCAAAGAGCUCACCCUGGAUGUGCAAAAUGUCAUAGCCCCACCUAAACCCAAGUCUUCUUUGAGAGAGAAAGAAACAUCAGUCAAUGUAAAUGGGGAUGAUAAAUCAUCUGCUGAUGCUGAUGGUAAGGCAGAGAAGGCACGGAGCACUAGCAAUCAGAGACCUGAGGAUGAUGGAGCGAAUGCCCAGGGUGAAGAGCACAGUGUGAGUAGUCCACCUGAGAGUCCAGCAAGAACUAAUGCACUUGAGAGCGAAUCUAAGGAGUUUGAAGAUUCUUAUUCUAAAAGGGAUAUCAGUUAUGAUGGUUCACCCCAUGCUACCCAGAGGUAAUGUGGUUCCCGCCCCUCUCCCCCAAAAAAAUGGAAAAACUCAAAUCUGUGGUAGCCCCCCUACUUAUUCUUUUUCUUCUUUCUGCUUUAAUGUUUGAUAAAUUGGGCAUGACCAAAUUAAAAAAUAUAUAUAUACCAAAAUUGAAAUUGUCGUUCAAUCGUCUCUCAUGAUGCACAUUUAGCCUGCUCUUUAUUGAUUUUGGUUACUUCCUUUUAGUUUUAUCUUGUAGUCUGUUUUGUGGGAGUAUCAACCUUCAAUAUCUCUUGCUAUUGCAGUGAACAUGGGGGUACUGAAUCUGUGUUCAUGGCGGACAAAGGUUUUGAUGAACCAGGCUGGGGUACGUUUGACACAUCAUAUGAUACUGAUGCUGCAUCAGAGUUCACUCAUGUAACUAAGGUAUCUGAUCGUUUACUUUAGUGUCUUUUAAUCAUGUUUCUAUUUUCGUUGAUUAAAAGGUUCAUAAUAGGCAUAUUCAGCUGGCGAGAUUGCUCUUAAGUUUUAUGAGGACUAAAAGAUCUAGUCAAUGUGCGUAGUUUCUUCAUUUGUAGUUUAUCUGACAUCUCUUCUUUCCCAAAAUCAAAUAUUUGGUAGUUUUAAUUUAUUGGUUGAACAUGAGAUAUUUCGGGGUGCCAAAAGCUGCAUUAUUUACCCGCUUUAAUAUUCUUACAGGAUGUACAUUCUGAGAGGCAAAGUGAUAAUUUAUUUGGUUCUGAUGACUGGGGCUUAAACCCAAUAAGAACUAGUACAGCUCGUGCGGAUAAUAUGUACCCGAAGCAAAGCCCUUUUUUUGAUUCCGUACCGAGCACCCCAAGUUACAAUGUGGGUGGCUCCCCUCUUGCAGACAGCAUGUUCCAAAAGAAAAGUCCGUUUGGCUUUGCUGACUCCGUUCCAAGCACACCAAUGUACAGUUCAGGUAAUUCCCCACAAAAAUUUGGUGAUGGGCCAGAAGAACGCUCUUUUAACAGUAGCUUCUCAAGAUUUGAUUCCUUCAAUAUGCAAGAUGGUGGACUGUUCACACCACGCGAACCAUUACCCUUUUCAAGAUUUGAUUCUAUGCACAGCACCAGAGACUCUGAAUAUGAUCAUGGCCUUUCCGCUUCACGUGAUUCCCUAGCAAGAUUUGACUCCUUCCGCAGCAUGGCAGAUUCUGAUUACAACUUUGGCCUCUUCCCACCUCGUGAGUCGGUUGCUAGGUUUGAUUCCAUGCGCAGCACCAGAGACUCUGAUUUUGGUCAGGGAUUUUCAUCUUUUGAUGAUGCUGAUCCUUUUGGGUCAAAUGAUCCUUUUAAGACUUCAUUGGAAAGUCAAACACCGAGGAGAGACUCUGAUGGUUGGAAUGAUCAUUUUAAGACAUCAUUUGAAAGUCAGACUCCGAGGAGAGAUUCAGACGGUUGGAAUGAUCCAUUUAAGACAUCGUUUGAUAGUCAAACACCGAGAAGAGAUUCUGAUAGCUGGAACGAUCCAUUCAAGACAUCAUUUGAUAGUCAAACCCCGAGGAGAGAUUCUGAUAGCUGGAACGAUGCAUUCAAGACAUCAUUUGAAGGCCAAACACCAAGGAGAGAUUCUGAUAGUUGGAAAGCUUUUUAGUACGGUGUUUUCAUAUUUUAUUUGAUGAGCUUUGUGUUUUCAGUAACUGUUAGCUUUUUCUCAUGGUUUUUGCCGGUGGAGGUUUUGGCAAGAUGCUUGUUUCGUUUGGUGCUGCUAGUCUAAGAGAAUCGAGUUGAACUCGAGAGAAGCCCUGGCCCUCUGUAAUUUUACCAAUUUGGUUCUUUUAUUGUUAAUUUUUUCUUAUCAAUUUUCCAAAUUGACGAAAACUUUAGUGGUGCUUAGGCAUAUUCAUUCCUUGGCUGUGUAAAAUGUGUACGAGCAUUAUGCUGUAUUUUUUAUUAUGUUGGUAUAGAUCAAUAUUUGCUUGAACUAUGGCUUAUCUUACCAACUGCUAGCACUUGUUUCUUGGACAAUUAUCGCAUAUUCCUGGCGGAUAUGUAUACUUCACAGUUAUAUUUCUUCUAUUUUAGCUGCUGUUAGGUGCGAUGUCGUGAAUGAAAGUACACCUUAUCUUUCCAUCAGCAGAAACCACAAUGACAAAUAACCGGAUCUGGCAACAGUUUUUGUAUGCCUGGUACUUUCCCAUGGUAUUCGCGACGUGUUUCACCAGUUGAAGUUUUCGUGUGCGAGGUAAUCUGACAGAUGCAAGUUUGUGUAAGGUUGAGUUCAGUCGACAUUAACAUAUCAGGCCUCCGGACUAAAAUGAAUGGUUUUUUAUGGAUGCUAAAAUUUGAAUUAAAAGAAAAGUUGAACACUUCAUCGCAACAAUGAUUUUUCCCCAUAUCUUCGCCCUGCACAUGCAAACACUAAUCCACACCAGAGACAGAGAAGCAGGACAAUCAAAACAAUGCUAGCACUACUCCACAUCAGAGACAAGAAUCUGCCAAGUCGUCACCAGAAGAGCCACCGAGUCAAGAGCCAAAGCGAGUCAAGAGCCAAAGCCAUAAACCCUCUGAACCACAAGCAGAUACUUCCACCACCUCGUAGAAUGGUUUGAUCACGGGUGGGAAAGCAAGAAAUAGAUAGGCAUAUACUCAACGGAACAAGGCUGCUCAAAUGUACCUGCACCCAAAGUUGGUUGUGCUUACAUCUUCUUAUCCACCGAACGCAAAAUAAACCAAAGCUUAAUGAUGUUAAAGCAGAAGCCCAAGCUUUUCCAUAGACAAACACAUUCGACCAACAAAAGGUUUCCAAAAUAGGCCAAUUUGUUAGAAAAUCAAAAGGUCUUCAGCAAUCACUGCCUCCCAAGCUCCACUAUUCUAUUACAUCAGCACAUAUCUCAUAAGGGCCAAACGGUGUAAGAAUUAAAUACAACCAAGUUUGGGUCGAAAACAGCUCCACAUGUAGGCUGAUGCAGGUACAAUAUAGCAAUUAUUAGCUAUAGAAAUCAUGUAGCUAAUGCAAGCAACCUUGAGAAUGGACAAUCAUUGCAUCAACAGCAAACCUGCCAACAGGAUCACUUACGACAAAGCCAAGGUCACCAAAAGAUGAGAUGCUGGGGACUCAACAAUGAAUUUAAGUCUUCUGUGACUAUUAACGAGGAACAUGAUGCAGUGGUAAGCAAGGAAGGUUGUGCUCAUUAGUGAAGGACAGGUGAUGGCAAAGGACUCCUGCUCCAGUCAUAACAAUGAAGACAUUGACAACGGUCUUGGUGUGGGAAGACAGGAGAUGGACACAAGUCAGAACUGAGAAGUGGACUAUCUUCCUCGGAACAUUGAGCCCAUCCGAGUAUGAGCUCUCUUCAUCUUUACCCAACUACAUUCAAUCAAUAGCAGUUUCGAGUGGAAAAGCCAAUUCCAAUAACAUGGCAAUUGCAGCUCAAAAUUGGAUUUAGUAAGUCCACCACUGUUUCUCCCACACAUUGAAACUCUGAGAAAGUGCAACAAAGAAGCCUAGAAAGAAACAACUCUUGCUUCUCAAAUAUUCAGCUUUUCAAAUACGUGAUUUGGUGAACUCCUCAGCCUUCAUAUUUCAAGAUUAAACAUGAUAGCCUGCAGAUUUGAAAAAUGAAUAAGAUGUUACAUUUUCAUUAUGCAGUCCAACUGAUUCUUUACAUUAAACAUGUUCCUGCCUUCUGACCAAACUGUUUUGUGACAUAGGCAUAAAACCAAAGCAUUCCACGAAUCAUAAUCAGGGAUAAUACCCUUCUCCAACAUUUGCAGAAACAAUACUAAAGCUGUUUGGAAAUCCUCUUUAGAACAACAUGUAUUAACCAUUAGGUUAUAACUUCCAGCGUCAGGCAAGCAUCCUCUUGCGAUCAUGUCUUCCAUGAGUUUUACUGCAUAUCCAACCUUACCUUGCCUGCAAAGUCCACUAAUCAGUGCAUUGACAGUUGAAACGAUAGGAGAAUAACCCCGACCAACCAUGUCAGCCAAUAAUUCUAAUGCUUCCUUUAUACGUUCUAGUUGGCAAAACACUUGAAUCAUCUUUGCAUAAACCAGAGCACUUGGAGCACCGCCUUCCUCAGUCAUCUGAUCAUAAAUUUUCUUAGCUUCAUCAGUACUGCCAUUCUCACAGAGUCUUAGAAUUUUAGAGCUCCUGCUUACAGCUCUUGGAAAUAACUUUUCCAUCUUCAUCAGAAACUCAAGUGCUUCAUCAAAUCGAUUCUCCUUACACAGGCCAUAUAUGAUGCUGUUGUAAGGACUAAUUUGACCACCAGAGCCCCAUUUACUGUCCUCCAUCAGUUCCAAAACCUUAAAGCCAUCUUCCAUCUUCUCGCCCGAACACAAACCAUGGAUUAGUGUAUCAAAUGUGACAAAGUUCCAAUCUAUGCCAACCCUUUUCAUCUCAUCAAACAUGUCAAGGCCUGAAUCCAACAUCCCAGAGUCGCAGAGACCAGAAAUCAAUGCAUUAUAUGUGUCUGCGUUGGGCAGAAAUCCUUUCAUCUCCAUCUCCUUCAUUAGAUGACGUCCAACCUUCACUUUGCCUAGUCUACAAAACCCUUUAAUCAGUGUGUUAUAGGCUACAAUAUCAAGGGUCCCUCCCAUCCCCUCGACUCUUUCUAAAAUCUCAACUGCAUCAAAAGCACGCCCUGCAUUGCAUAGAGUUUCCACCACUUUUGUCACUGUAACCACAUCAGGCACAAACCCACUACUAAAGCUCUUUUCCAAAACCACAAGAGCCUGCACUAAGUUUUCCUCCCGACAGUAGGCAGAUAUCAAAGUAUUAAAGGUGACAUCGUUAGGCAUUUCCAUGUCACUCAUCAAACUUCUAGCUCUCCCAACCUUACCAUUCUUACAAAGAGCAUGAAUCAAGGUAUUAUAUACUACAACAUUAGGCCUGAUGCCUCGGGUCUUCAUCACUUGCAAAAGCUUAAAACCAUCCACAAUCCUAUUAGUCAAGCAAAGCCCUUUCAUCAAAAUUCCAUAAGUAUAAUCAUCACCCUGUACCCCACUGCCCAUCAUUUUCUUCCUGUAAAACUGCCUAGCAAUAUCAAUAUCUUCCUUCACUAGAACAUCAAGUAUAGAAUUGUAUAGCUUCAAAGAUGGAGUCUUUUCAAACUUAGAAACCAACUCAAGUACUCUGAUCACAUCUCUAAUCAUCCGCGCACGGCCAAGUCCCCGGACUACUGUGAUGAAAAUGUCCUCAUCAGGUGGCGACCCAAUUGAACCAGGCAUUUCGUCGAGCAGUUGUUUGACAGUAUCGAAUCGUCGAAAAAUGCAGAGCUUGUGAAUUAAAGCUCUGUAGGUGGACUGACUGUGAGUAAACUUGGGAACUUUGGAUGCCCAUCUGAAGGUUUUUAUGGCUUCGUUAGCAGAUUUCUGUUCUAGAAUUAGAUGGGCUAUUUGCUGGUGGGUGGGAACAGGUGUGGUAGAAAUUGGCUUUGAUUGAAUGUAAAAGAAUACCCUUUUAUAGAUUGCUCUGUUGAAGGAGUUAAGACACAUUAGCGAUGUUGUGCAUGGAGCUGAGAUUACUGUGUCUGUUUUAUUCCUUCUGCAAGUAAUUCCGUCUAAAAUCUUUUUCAUAUUGUCCAGGAAGAAGAUUGAGCGAAGACACAGAAAGGAUCAUUGUAACAUUUGACAAUGAUUAUGUGCAAAUUCAAGUGAACGUAAGUUUCGUGCUUUUAGCUCAAGUAUCUCAAGAUUAGAGGCGGAGAAAAUUCAGACUAAGUAAUCACUCAACGUUUAAUUAUUUUGAUAGUAGCUGCAACACCUAAAUAUUUUUCUUCUCUAUAAUUAUUUUGUCUUAGGAAUUCGUAGUGCCUGUAGAGACACUUUUUUGCACAAGAUGUUUGGAAAAUUUAUAAUACAAGCCAGAUAAUUUUUGCACAAGAUUUGGUGUCAAAACAAUUAUGCCUCUUCAAACAACCAAUAGGAACACCAAUCUACACAAACAUGGAGAAUGCCUGAGAGACUUAUCAGACCUUGACCCACCUUUAUAUAACAUUACAAAAAUACUACUUCAAUGUUCAAGACCUGUUGUACAUUCAUAAACAUAUUUUCAAACGAAAAUGUACAUUGUACACACAAAUGUGUGCGCUUUGCGUUGUCAUGUACAAUUGAAGUAUUGAACUAGCAAAAUUUCUCUUUCUUGGGCCUCUGUUAUUUAAACAUGGUCCAACACAGAGAGCUUAAGUCCAUGAUUCUCCAAGAUACAUGGAGAAAGCUAGUCAGCAAUUACCGUUUGCUAGGAAGCCUGGGAUGCCGAGGCUAAUAUUGACAAGAGCUACAAUUACAAAAGCCAAAAAAAAAAAAACUCCCGCUGGAUGUUUGAAGAUGACUCUUAAAUGCCACAAUGGCACUAAAACCUCUCAGAUGCAGAGGCUCUUGUUUUCACGAACGUCGCAAAUUUCAGCCAGACUCAAACUGAGGGGCAGCAGUUGACAUUCAGAAAAACCCCACAAUAAUGGUUUUGAAUCCCUGUCCAAAAAUACUCUAGCAUUUGACGAUUGCUUUCUCAUACAUUGCUGCUGAGGACACCCUUUAAAAGAUCCAAACCUUCAGCUGAUAUGCUCCGCCUUCUUUGCGUUUUAGGAAUUUCAAUACGAGGGGGUGGAUCAGGAGAGAAGCACACCACAAGAACAGUUAGAUUAUCACAUGAAUUGCGCUUGAGUGCCUCCCUGACGAGCUCCUUAGAGCACCUCUCAGGAUCAUUGUGCAGCAUUAGCUCCUUCCUUGUGAUUGUGACAGCACAUUGGCUGCUCAUAACGUCCCAUAAGCCAUCACAUCCAAUUAUCAGAAACUCGUCUUCUUCCGUUAAGACCACCUCCUUCAACUCUGGCUCUGAGCUCAAGGGAAAACUUGAUCCUUUGGAACCUUUCAAGUGCCAAUCUCCUAGAGAACGUGAUACUGAUAGUUGGCCAUUUAGAUAACCAUCAUAAAUGACCCCACCUAGUUUCUCGAUUCUAAUUUUUUCAGAGGUGGAGUUGGGCUUGUGGUCUGUUGACAGUUCAACUGCUCUUCCUCGUUUUCCCAGCACUGCUCUCGAGUCCCCAGCAUUAGCAACCAGCAUUGUCCUGUCAAAGCAUUGAAUAAACCGCUAUGUUGAAAACUUCUUUAAGAUCCACUUCUAAGAUAAAUGAGUGAAUUAUUAGCAUAUAUGUCCUGCAUUCCUCUCAAAGUCCGACCAUGCAAAAAGCACAAGAAACAACUCGUGUCACAAUGGGUACUUAAUACACCACUCUAUGUACAAUUACAAAGAUUCACUACUACGAAAGCUAAACUGUCCACUUGCUGACUGAUUUCUUUAUCCAUCCUCUCUCCUCUUCUCCAAUUGUUCUAGUCAGUCUAUUCAUUCUUAAAGCCCACUAGUCGACUAGUCUAUGGAUUUCACAUCUAUUUUCAAAAGCAACAAUUACCGAAAAACCACUAGUUGUCACCAUUUUUAUCAAUUAAUUCAGCUUCAAUGCACAUAUAUUACAGUAUAGUGGCACUACUCAAAACUAGUUAGAUUUCUUACCGUCCUAACACUAGGGCAGUCAAAGCAGUGGUGCCAGAGGUUCUGUCAACAGUUUUAGCAUCUGCUAGCGCAUGAUCAGCUUUAACAAAAGCAUUCCGGAUAGCCCUUUUUACCACAGAUGGGAAAUAUGAAUCCUCAACAAUGAAGUUAAGGAUGUUCUUCUUGGUAAAUGCUGCAGCAUCGACUCCACAGUGCCCAUCAAAUACCUGGAAGUCAAGUAAUAACCAUCCAGCUUAACUUCAGUAAAGCAAUGUGGACAGUAAUAUCAGUAAGAAGUUUCAAUUGAGACUUACUGCAAGAAGAAUAUUAACUCCAAUAUUGAUUAAAAUGAGAACCCAUGCCCCAAAAAAAAAAAAAAAACAGAAAACAAACGAGAACCCAUAACAUCCAGAACUGGACUGGAUCAAAAUUAACAAAUACAUCUGCAGAUAGGACCACUAUAAGAUGGCAAAGGUAUCAGGUUAAACAUAACGAUGCUAGUGUUGUUUCAUCAGCCAGAACUCGUCAGCCUAAAACACCAAAGAAAUUGAUUUCUGCUGAAUCUUCCAGACAAAAUCAAUCAUAAAGGCUUUGAGACUUGUAUGAGACAAAUUAAAAGCUGAAUUGAGUAACACACCCCAUAAAAGGCUCCAGUAGGUGGGAUAUCCAAAGCCGCACGAACAUGUUGGUGUAGAUUAUCGACACAGAUAAACUCAUCCUCCAUAAACUCUUUUGGUCCCUUCUCAGAGCAGCUUCCUGAUCGAAAAACAGGUGAAAAUUCUGGAUUCUCACCUGAUAUUGUUACUCGACCAGUAAGUCCAUUGUGUAAUUCCUAGUUUUUAGAGCACAUCAAGGAAUUAGUGGAACUCGUAUUUCAGAAAACAAAUUACAGAAGAUACACGUAGUCCAAAAUUGGAAGAGAACUCGAAACAAGAAAUAUGUGAACAAAGAAGAUCCAUCGAUUGUUAGACACCUCCUCUGAGAUUCAAUUAAGUGCAUCUUGCAGUCCAGAUCAUUAUCCUCCUCACUAAAUCAGUUCAUUUAGCAAAAAUACAUGGUAAUUUGGAUUUCAAAUGAGUAAACCUCUGUACAAGUAUCACCUGCAUCUUUCAGAUUUAUAGUGUUAUAACAAAGUUCGUUCAAUUAACAGGCUACAGAACUCACGAGGAUUUCAUCACCAUAUGUCAUCAAGGGCUAAAAUCACAACACAUAGGGCCGCUAAAUUGUCUUGUCGUCAAAGAUCUAAACUUUGAACUAAGUGAAAUUUGUGAGUGUGUAAUUGUAACAAUUCACCCAAAUGCCUAGAAGAUCAUAUUUAGAAGGAGUAGGCAAGCAUAUGCCACCAGAAUCAGGAUAUCGGAAAUUCUAGAUAAAUCAGAGAAUCGCAUAAUACAAAGGCAAAUAUUAGGAACUAGUAUCACAUUAAGAUUGAGACCGGCUCACCAAAGCAGGGGUGCCCGCCAAGAUUGCUUGACUGAUAGAAUGCCUAAUAACAGGGAGAUUUCUUGGUGGUUUCCCUGCCUUUGCCAGGCUCUGAUCAUCCAAUUCCUCCUCCUUAUGACUUUCAUUUUCAGUUACAGAUGCAUUUUUCUCCCUGAACCCGUUAUCCAAUUCACCAUGACCUGUGCCUGGAGCCAUAUCUCCUCUAAAAAGUAACUAAUUCAGUCCAUACUUUUCUUGAUAACGUUGUACUGAAAAUAGUUAAUAAAACUCGACAUAGUAUUCACCAAAAAGCUACAAUAACACAUGGAUGGCUGUAUAAAUAAGUAUUUUUUGAUACUAACUCAAGUAUAUCACUCAGUUUAACGAGUAUAUCUUUUUCCCCAUAGAUUUUACUAUAGGCCAUAGAAGAUGCCCACAUGACAAGACUUAAACUUUCAUAGAUUUCUGAGUAGAAUACACAAAACCCAAUUGAAAAUUUAUAACAAUUCCCCAAAAAACAAAAAGUUUUUAGCAGAAAAACACAAUCUCUUCUUAUUGAUGACAAGGAAAAAUACCCAAAAAAAAAAAGAAAGAAAAAGAACUAGAAUUGAAAAACAACAGAGAUGAACAAGAGCAUGGAAGUGAAGAGAAGAUUGAAUGAGUAAUGGUAGAAGUACUAACAUUGGCAAGUGGAAAAGGGAGGGCGGUUUGUUCGGGAAUGGUAAUAAUCAAUGGGCUCCGAGGGAAAUGGCGACCCCAAGUUCGAGCUUUCACGACCGUUUUUGUAGGUGGUGGGAAAAUAAUAGAAAUUUGGUGGGAGAUCUAUUUAACCGACUUGUGGGUCGUCCCUUUAGUGCCAUGUGGCAGGCAGAUUAGUAAUUUGACCGCUUGGCUUUUUGUUUCUGAUCAGUGCAUUAAUAAUUGGAUUUACCAAUAAAAUGAAAAAAGCCAAGUGAGAACUUCUCAUUUUGUGUUUUGUCAACUCUUUCCAACAGUUGACAGUUAUAUAUAACCAUCAUAUAUUGAAGUUAUUGAAACAUGUCCUCAACAUGAUAUGAGAUUAACGAAUGAUUAUGGAUUCUUAAUUCAAUUUUCAAGUCAUUUUCUUUUUCAUUUGCCUUUUUUUUGCAAUUGUUGCGAGAGUAAAAUCAAAUAACAUCAUACGGGUAGUAGUGUAGUAAUUAUAGAUACAAAGAAUCAUAUGGUCAUAUUAAUUCAUCCCGUUAAAAAAUAUAGAAUAACUUUUUUUGGGUACAAUCCAAAAUUUUCACUCAUUGGACAUUAAUUUGUUUUUACGAAAAUUACUCAUGACAAGUGACAAAUAUAUGGGAGAAGGGAUGGAUUGAAUAGUACAGGAGGAGGAGGAGCGAACAUAAGUAGGAAAUCUUGGACUGAAAAGUGAUAAUAUACUAAUUUAUUCCUUUUGUUCUUGACAAUUUCACGGAGACAAGUGACUGAUAUACCAACAUUUCCCUUUCCCAGUCUUGCCAAUUUCACGGUGCUACAAUUGCAAACAACAGCUGUGAGUCAAAGUGAUUAAACUUAUGUAGCAAAUUUUAAAUUAUUAUUACCCUUCGGUUUUCUUCUCUUUUUUUUUUCCGACAAAUAUAAUAGUAGUUUCGUUUUUCACAAGUUAUGGAUAAUUAUAAAUUAUCCUAUCGCUUGUGUACUGAAAUCCUCUCCUCACAACCAUAAUUGAUGUAGCCUUUGCAAAUGUUAUAAUAAUAGGAGCGAUAUCAAAGAUUAAAGCAGCAUCAUUAGCUCAUUUUGUCCAUGUCUGAAUUAGUCACAAAAUGAGAGGCCGCCAGGUUGUCAAAAAAGCAAUGCCGACAGAUGCAUUUCUGCCUGAAUUGCACGUUGCAGAUUGGUAUGCAAGUGUUAAUCUAUGAACCAAUAAUGACAUAAAUGGAAUAAUCAGUUGUAAACCCUAUUUUUAAGUACCGAAAUUACUUAAAACAUACUAAUAAUAAUGCCUUGUCUGCAUACCCAAAAUAAAUCUUGAACAUGCAAAUUAGCUUAAUUGGGUAUUUAUGUUCCAGCUGCUAACAUUGCAAUCUUAACUAACUCGAUAAACCCUUGCAACAUGAGAAAGUGAAAUGACAAUAGCUUUGGUUUAAAAAAAGACCCUACCGUCAAUAAAAUCUGUGGUUGUGCAAGGGCCGAAUGCCAAUCAAGAAAGGGCAUGCUCAUUAUACUCUUUUUUUUUUUGUUAACAGUCGACAAUAGUUUACUUAACAUCUAUUCCUACUCUUACUCUAACUUAUUUUUAGAAGGGGAUCCAAUUUGGCCAACAGAGAAAUCGACGGAAACUGAAUCAACAUCGAAUCAAACAAAUGCACAACACACCUGUCUGAAAUUUUUAAAAAGCCGCUUAACGCGUCAAACCUUGCUUCCCACCCUCCAAGUCCAUUGGCCACCGGUGGUUGCAUGCUCAUUAUGCUUGAGAAUGCACUUUUCAGGUUAAAAAAAUCAGGGAUGUGUUUCACAUGGUAAAAUAAAAAAUUAAUUAAAAUUGUAUAGUGUACUGUAAGUGGUCCAAAUAACACAUUGAAUUUCUAUCCUAGGCCCCUGCGCAUGAAGAAAGAACCCCAUUUCCUGCUGCGGCCCCGAAAUUGUUCUGGUUUCACUGGAGCUGUCGUCUCUGGACCUGGGACAAUCUUUACUGGACCCUUGGGAAGUUUCACUUGUACAAAUGUCCAAUAUACGUUGUCGGACCAAUCUGGAGCUUGUUUUGUUUUGUUAAAGACUUGCAAGAACAGAUAAAAAAUUUUCAAGAGAAAAGGAUUGCCAAAAUAUCUUGAUAGCCAAAAGUAGAAGUCCAAGAACACCAUUUUCUAGCGAAUACUUGUUCAUGUGAACAGAGAGAUCUUCAUGAUUGGUUUAGAAUAGAAUAAAUUCCACUCUUGAAACGUGUAGUACUCUUAAAGAGUAUUUGGUUUAUUAAUACCAAACUGCGCAAAUGGAUCUUCUUUUUUUUUCUUUGGGUCAAAAGCGCAAAUGGAUCUUGAGCCUCAAAGCUUUUAUAGAUUCUAUAUGUUGCUACAUAAAUAAGUUAUCCUAUAAUAAUAUCCAUCACUUGACAAGUAUAUUACAUUCACUUUUAUGUGUAAAUUUACGGCCGAAAAACAUGGCAUGUUAUCUUAUUUAUAUCAAUCUCCAUCAAACCUCCAUUAUCUUCCAAAAACUUGUUUAAGGUACUAAAAAAGAUGUGGUUGCACAUAAUCAAAUGACAGCCAACGGACCCCUUAUGGAGGACUUUUCUCUUGCUGUCCAACUAGCAUUAUACUCCUAGUCGUAGACUAGAUUGGCAAAAUCUUGGUUGCAAGUCAUCCACAUUUUUCUUGUGCAUCCAGAGUCCACUCAUCUCCGCACAAUUUUGUGUCACUGUUCUGUGGUUGCACCCACAUUUCUUUGUUCGUGUGUUUAGUUGUCCACUACCAAACACGCCUGCGUCUACACGGACAGCAAACGCAUGCGCCAUCCCGGAGCCACCAGCAACAGUGACAAUUAUCCCAGACCGGUACCAGUGAAAAAAGUGGGGUUUCAUGAGCCGUAGAUGAAUUGUUAUGGUGACAUAUCUCUAGAAGUCUUUUAAAGGCAAACCCGUACAACCAUCAUAAUGGAGUAGCUCUUUUUGACAUAGAAUUGUUUUGGUUGUCCAGUUGGUGGAAGUGGGAAAAAAAGUGUGAAAAGUGGAAUCCCAGCUUCUUCCAGUGCUACUUUUUGUUUCUGUCCAUUUGUCAUGGAGCUUUCACGGGUCGAAGUGGAGGAAGAGUAACGCCCCAAUAUGUAAGCUUCUUUUCUGUGACCCUUGUUGAUGCAUUAGAUGUUCAAUCUUCUAAAGUUGGAUUUUGCAUGCUAUUUUUUUUUAUCUGAAACCUCUUUAAUGCUCCAGGUUCUACCAGCCUUAUGUCCCUUUUUUAUAUUGCUUCCUGGUCUUUGUGUUUUUAUUGCUUUAAUAAGGAAUGCAUAAUGGGUCUCGCAGGAACGUUCUCAUUAGAAUGGAACCCAAAAUGAGUUUUUAUGUCUAUGAAUUUGCUUCAUGAUUAGAUAAAAUUACGGCCUUUACUUAGAAUAGGCUCAUAUUUCUUCUUUUUCAUGGCAUUCUUCCUUGCGAAUUUUCAUACUGUCAUGGAAGUUAGUUUUACUUGAUUUUCUUGUAAAUUCUUGAUUAUCAGUGGAAAACCAUUUUUAAAGUUAAACCCAGAGUUUUAUUAACUCUUUUGCAUCUUAUUUCGUUAUCCAUGCAUAACAAGGCGAGUUAGUUGCACCUAAAAUUUUAGUUCUUUUGUAUCUUACUUUAUUUUUUGUGCAUAACAGGGAGAGUUCAGCAGUUAUGACUACGUCCAUAGGCAUGAAACUUUUCAUGGUAAUGGUGUUAAUGCUUUCUGGCAACGGACAAUUUUCAAAAGGGUUUAAUACAAAUGUGUCGGGAAGACCUGAUGUUUUGAACAUUGGGUCUAUCCUAACAUUGAAUUCUGUUAUUGGCAAAGUUGCAAAAGUUGCUAUAGAUGCUGCAGUAGAAGAUGUGAACUCCAGUCCAGCAGUUCUUCGAGGAACCAAGCUGAAUAUUACAACUCUUGACAGCAACUAUAGUGGAUUUUUGGGGAUAGUCGAGGGUAAACACAUUGCUCUUCUAUGUUGCCCUUUUAUACCUAAUAAAUAUCAAUUCCAUGUUGAGAAUGAGUUCUUCUGCAGUCAAUUAUUUGUCUUCUGGUCUUAAGCUAGUUAGAAUCUAGUAAAUCUCUAUUUCACGAAUUAUUGCAGCUAUUCGCUUCAUGGAGACUCAAACAAUGGCCAUCAUUGGCCCCCAAUCUUCAGUUAUAGCUCAUGUGAUAUCCCACAUUGCAAAUGAGCUCCAAGUUCCUAUGUUGUCUUAUGCUGCAACGGACCCUACCCUUUCUUCACUUGAGUAUCCGUUCUUUGUUAGGACCUCACCAAAUGAUCUGUUCCAGAUGGCUGCAAUAGCAGAACUAGUUGAAUAUUAUGGAUGGAGAGAGGUAAUAGCAAUCUAUAUUGAUGAUGAUUUUGGAAGGAAUGGAAUAAUUGCAUUAGCAGAUCAACUGGCAGCAAGACGUUGUCGGAUCUCUUACAAAGCACCUUUGACCGCUGAUGCCACCAUCUCAGACAUCAGGGAUGUGCUGGUGCAGGCAGCCUUAACAGAGUCUCGCAUUCUUGUUGUACACACUUAUCCUAACAGUGGUUUAGAGGUAUUUUCGGUGGCGCAAUCUCUAGGGAUGAUGGACUCUGGAUUUGUGUGGUUUGCUACAACUUGGCUGACAACCAUAUUGGAUAUCAAAAACCACUUUGCUUCAGAGGCAUUUAACAACAUACAAGGGGUUAUCACGCUGCGUAUACACACACCAGAAUCACAAAAGAAAAGGGACUUCAUCUCUAGGUGGACCAACUUGACAAAAAAAGUGUCAGCUCGUAGUCCUAUAGGGAUGAAUACUUAUGCUCUCUAUGCCUAUGAUACAGUUUGGCUGCUUGCUCAUGCCAUUGAUGCUUUUUUUGAGAAGGGUGGAAACCUAUCAUUCUCCUAUUAUUCAAGGUUGGGUGAAAUGAGUGGAGGGAGCCUGCAUCUAAAUUCCAUGAGUAUAUUUAACGGAGGCAGAUUACUGCUUGACAGAUUAUUACAAAUCAAUAUGACUGGGGUAACGGGAAUGUAUGGUUUCACUUCAGAUAGGAACCUCAUUCGCCCAGCCUGUGAAGUCAUUAAUGUGAUUGGAACAGGAUUGAGGAGAAUAGGUUUUUGGUCUAAUUAUUCUGGAUUGUCAAUUGCUCCUCCGGAAACACUUUAUACAAAACCGCCAAACCGUUCUAGUUCAAAUCAACAACUGUAUAAUGUGGUGUGGCCUGGACAAACAACUCAGCAACCUCGUGGCUGGGUUUUUCCUCACAAUGGAAGGGAAAUGAAGAUUGGAGUCCCAAACCGAGCAAGUUUUCGUGAAUUUGUUCAAGAGGUACCUGGCACUGAUACGUUCAAAGGAUACUGCAUUGAUGUUUUUACUGCUGCCCUUAACUUGCUGCCAUAUGGUGUCCCUUAUAAACUAGUGGCAUAUGGGGAUGGUCGUACUAACCCAAGUGGCACAGAACUUGUGAGGUUGAUCACUGCUGGGGUCAGUACAAAGUUUAAAAGUUUCCACAUUUAAUUACAAUACGCUUUGACUCUCUAAAAUUCUAUGUUCUCUCUUCUUCGUCACAGGUUUAUGAUGCUGCUGUUGGCGAUAUUGCAAUAACCACCAACCGUACGAGGAUGGUGGAUUUUACUCAGCCAUAUAUUGAGUCUGGUUUAGUGGUGGUCGCACCAGUAAGGAAGUUGAAUUCUAAUGCUUGGGCCUUCCUGAGGCCAUUUACUCCUCAAAUGUGGGCUGUUACUGCAAUAUUUUUUCUCGUUGUGGGAGCUGUUGUUUGGAUUUUGGAGCAUAGGAUGAAUGAUGAAUUUCGUGGACCUCCCAGAAAGCAAGUUGUGACUAUCCUAUGGUGUGUACUGCUGGAUAGUUUUGCAUUUCUUAAUAGUAUAAUCUGAAAGACUUGUCAACCCACGUUGGUUCUCUUUUAUUUGAGUAGUUCCCUAGUUCAUUUUCAGAGGGGCAAAGGAAAGCUAUUCACUAGGUGUAGAAGAUCAGUUAAUUACCUUUUUUGAAUUGAAAGGAAACUCCAUUCCUCUAAAGUAGCCACUGAUUCAAUCUAUUUACUUCUUCUAUGAUAAGGUCUAGUUGCCAAGCUUCCAGCUCUGGUGUAAAAUUUUUUUUCCCUGAUUGUUCUUUUCUUUGCAGGUUCAGCCUUUCAACUCUAUUUUUUUCCCAUAGUAAGUGCUCUGGCUCUGCUUUGGUAGUCUGGUGUAUUUGGCAGCCAAGAAAAAUAACUAAUAAUCUAAUUUUUCUGGCAUCUGCAGGAGAAAAUACUGUGAGCACCCUUGGUCGCGUUGUUCUUGUUUUCUGGCUGUUUGUGGUCCUUAUAAUCAACUCUAGUUACACUGCUAGCCUUACGUCUAUCCUUACAGUUCAGCAACUUUUUUCACCAAUUAAGGGAAUUGAAAGUUUAAUAAGUAGCGAAGAUCGCAUUGGCUACCAACUGGGCUCUUUUUCCCGUGAUUAUCUCAUUGAGGAGGUCGGCAUACAUGAGUCCAGACUUGUCCCUCUUAAUAUGCCGGAAGACUAUGUAAAAGCCUUGAAAGAUGGCCCCAGGAAUGGUGGAGUCGCUGCUGUGAUCGAUGAGCGUGCCUAUAUAGAACUCUUUCUCUCAACUCAAUGCGAAUUUAGCAUUGUUGGUCAAGAGUUCACCAAAAAUGGAUGGGGAUUUGUAAGUAUAUCUGUGAACAACACUUUUUCUUCUACUUUUGCUCCAUAGGAACAGCAAUUUCAAUCAAUUAAUCGGUAAAAAGCAUUGGGCGUCCAUUACUGCUGUUUUUUUUUCAGUACAUAUCCAUUUUCUGAUAUAUUAGCUGUGAGCUCAAUGGACUGAGAAAUUGUCACUGUGGAAUUGCACCUUGUCACCCAUUAUUUGAUCCUUACCUGCGUGCUAAUUUAUAAACUUCUAGGGUACUGCUUUCUGUCUGUUUUUGCUGCAUGCAAUCGUAUUAUUCUAACAUUAUCCAUCAUAUAGAAAGAAUGACUGCAUUCAAAAAAAAUUUCAAGUCUUUUUGACUUCUUAAAUUUGGCAUGGAAGGAUAUGACUGUUACAUAUUUGUAUAAUCAGUCAUUUACCAAGAUGUCAAGUGAGAUAACAUCUAUUGUCAACAGGGUGAAUAGCAACCAAAUAUUGCAGAUUAUUUUCUUGAGAUGGCUAAGAAUGGUACUAACUACCAAUUUUUCUGCUUCUGGCAAGGCCUUCCCAAGGGACUCUCCUCUGGCUCUUGACAUGUCCACGGCAAUUCUGAAGUUGUCAGAGAGCGGUGAACUCCAGCAGAUCCAUGACAAAUGGCUGCAGAGAAGUGCCUGCAGUUCACAAAGUACAAAGCUUGUCGUGGACAGACUUCAACUGGGAAGCUUUUCAGGCCUCUUUUUUAUUUGUGGAUUAGCAUGCCUACUUGCUCUGCUUGUAUAUUUCAUACUCAUAGUACGCCAGUUCUUGCGUUACCACUCUGAGCCUGAGUCAGAAUCAUCGGGUCAAAGCUCGCGCUCAGCACGAAUCCAGACAUUCCUUUCGUUUGUUGAUGAGAAGGAAGAAUCAGUUAGAGCCCGAUCCAAGCGAAGGCAUCUGGAGGGGGUCUCGAAUUUAAGUAACUAUGAAAACACAGCUGAAAAUGGUUCUUCUAAGAGAUACCGUACAGAAAUGUUGUCAAAUAGAAGCGUCAGCUUUGGCGAUUUAGACUAAAAGUGUGUGGGUAUUUUGUGUAUUCUUGCCUUGCUUUCUGUCACAGUGUCACCCCAUGAUGCUUGCUCCUUUGCUAGUUUAAACUGUAAUUAUGUGUACCUUGGUGCGGUGUUUUAGAAAUCGAAUUCUGGAAGAAUGUGUCAUCUGGAGCUCAGGUAACAGCUUUAACAUAAUGAAAAGAAUAGAACAGGAUUGUUUUUUCCAUCGUCCCGUAAAUGAUGAAAGGUUUCUAAUCAUUGCUGGCAGCUAUGCAGCCAUUUCAUAUUUCAAGUCUCUUAACUUUGACAACAAUAACUACCCUCUGGCAAUAUAAAAUUAUACGACCAAAUUAAAGCCAGAAGCUAAAUCAGAAGGCAAAUUGAGCACAUUCACUAAAAUCGAUUUACAGGGUUGUCCUGACAUUAUCUAUUGAUUACCAGAGUAACAUACAGGUAAAUCAAACUCCAUUUGCCCAAAACACACAAGCAUCUCUUCUCCCGCAUAAACAAAUUAUUAUAAGGGUAAGAAGACAAAACUGAGAAAAGGGUUCCUUGUUGAACACCUAAUGAUUAGGGAGAGCUAAAAUACAAGUUUAAAGAAAAAUCAGUCAAGGAAAAAAAAAAAAGAGAGAAAGCAAAUGAAAUUAGGUCAACAUCAUUAAUUAUAUAACCUGAUAGUAGUAAUAUUUACAUAGUUAUCGUGUAUAUAUUUCGUUUAAUCAUAUUUACACGCAUCAUAUUACAGCAGAGUGUUAAAAAACUAGACCAUAACUGGGUUAUUGUCUGUCACAAAUUACUGCAUACUGCAUUUGAAGUACUUGAUAAAACAUUCUUCUUCUUUGCAAUACAUGCUCAUCACUCUGUAUACUUCAAUCAAUAGUUUAGGAAAUCGACUAGCAAAAUACUCGUCAUAACCUUCUGGUACUGACCCCAAAAUCUCCUGCAAAGAACAUCAAGGUUAUUAUCAAAUUCACCAUAAAGAGAAAAUGCAAGUCAGAACAAGGAAAAAAUAACACUUCAGGUGUCAAUUAACUUAAAGCAAAAACAUCUUUGGCAUGUUAUAUGUAUAAAUUUCACUUUGUAUGUUUAACUAGCUCCAUCAAUGACUACCACAUAGAUGCAGAUUUAGAUCACUCUUCAACGGAUGAUUUUUGGGUGUUUUUUAAAUUUAAAAUUUUAUUGGGGUACUAGAGGAACCACACAGGUCAGCUAAAACAUUUGUAAUUGCAUCAUUAUUCUCGAAAGUAGUAUUUGCACAAUGCAUUAUCAUCUUUGUGUGCAAUCAUCCGGGUGAAUACAAUCAAACAUUGUAUCUGCCAAGGAUGCGAACAAGAUAUUGUUAUAAUAGCCACCCAAUCAUAGAUGCAAUAUCCAAAUAAUGAUGUACAGGAUGACAUCUGUACUACUAGGAAACUUUGCAUACUCAUGGGAUAUGCAAUGUUGUACCUCCUAUCUUACACAUUUUAAACAAAGUCCAGCUCAUCAGUCUACCUACUUUAAAUUCUGUGAUCAAAUAACACUUUUUUACCAAAGGUGCUGAUGGUAGAAAAGAACUUCCAGCAGAAUAUAAUUAAUAAAAAUUAACUAAAAAAUUCCUAGCAAAGUUAAAAUGUAAAAGCACCUGAAUUUCCAUGGGGAGCUCUCUAUAAUGAUUCAACUUGUUACGCAUGACCCGCAGUAAGUCACGAACACUGUCAUACUUAUACCGCCUGUAGCAGCCAAUAUUAUAUAAGAAUGCAGGUUCCAAUUUUUCAUCCCAUUUUCCACCCAGAGCUAUUGGUGCAGUAGCUUCUAUUGCUUUUAAUAGCUCAGAAUCGGUUUCCCUAUCUUCCAGUUCUACCCUAUCACUUGUAUCACGAAGAAAUGACAAUCGCAGGUCAGCACUCCAAAACAAUGGAUGUGCUAGAACCUCUACUGCUUUUGGUCUGAAUACAAGAAGAAAACAAGAGAGAAAGAAAUAAUUCAGCAACCGAAAUGUUAGGAUAGUAUCUAAAAAAAGUUCCAAAAAUUGGAUAAAAUAGAUUUCCUACAAAUCGCAGAGUCAGUGGCCAACUCAACCAAAAUCACUGAAUCACUAUGUAAAUAAAUUGUCUUUUUUCCAGCUGUCUUGCCCUACAAUGCCUCUAUUCCAUACUUAGAAUACUUCAAAAUAAUUGUUCAUGAGUUUGAAACAAAGCAUAGAUUUCCAAUUUGAUUAGAAAGCAAGUUUUCCUACAAUUCUAUAGACUAUCAUAGACAACUGGUUAAACAUAAUCCUAAGCAUGAAUCUAGGACCAAUCCUUAACAACUGGAAAGGUUGACCGGACUCAAUUACCAGCUUGCAAGGUUACAUUUCCUCAAGUGGAACAAGCUCCAGUGAAGAACAAUAUAAACUUUAUUUCCUCUUCCAGUUUUCAUUUCCAUAAAAUCAAUUUAUAUCCUUUCAUAUCUUAAAUCAACAAUAUAUUUUAAAACUAGGAAGAAUGAUAUUGUUUCAUUUUACUUAGACAUCCUUCCUGUGAGGACCCACUCCAGUUGGCAAACUAAACUUCAUUCUACCGAGGAAAAAACAAUUCAGUAAGGCCUUGCAGCAGCAAUGUCCCUUACCUCAUUUCUGCGUUAGGAUUUAACAGAUGGGAGAAUAAAUCCAUUGCUUCAGGAAUAUGUUCGACCAAGAAUAGGUCAACUUGGUUCUUUGUGAUGUUGACAUCACGUUCAAGACGAUUUCCAAAUGGAUGUCUACCACCGGUGAUGCAGAAAAAUAGAACACAACCUAGACUAAAUAAAUCAACUGCUCUUGUUUGACGUCCAAGAAGAAGUUGUUCGGGUGCUUGCCAUCCUGAACUUCCACAACCUGUAACAAGAUAUUAAUUACAUGAGCAAAUAAAUGCACAGAUAAUAUACUUGAAGCAAUGAAAUUUAAGGAUAGCCACAUUAAUUCACAAUGACAGCCUUGUUGUGAAUCACUUACACCAAAGAAAAAUCUAAAGAACCAACAUCACAUGCUGAUCUAUAGAGCCUCAAUCCACAAGUUGUCCAGAAUAAGAUUAGCAGUCAAGAUAACCGGUCGAAGGUGUGAUUGCAUGCAAAUUUACAUCAUAAUAGGUAAGGUGCAACUACUUGCCUGUAGCAUGCUGACCCAAGGAAGCCAUAUCCCCAGUGAGACGUUUGCUAAUACCCAUAUCUGAGAGCUUUGCGCAUAAAGAUCUAUCCUUGAUUAUCAAAACAUUUUGGGGCUUCAAAUCUCUAUGAAUGAUUCCUAAUUCAUGUAGAUGUACAAGUCCAGAAACCACAUCCCUGUCUUCCGGAUUAUUUUAGAAAAAGAGCAAAAAAAAAAAAGAAACAAAAAUAUAUGAAAAUAAAGAAAAAUAUAAACUAAAGCUCCAAAAAGUUGCCAGUAAGAAAAGAUACACAUAGAAGUGCAUUGACAUAUUAUAUAACACCUAAGAAGAGUCAAAUAAUUAAAGAUGUCAAUUGCCGAGCCUUUUUCAACUACAAAAGCCUUAUUCUCUUUCUCUUGAAAAGAAAGCAAAAAGACGAGAGAAAACUCAUCACAGAGCAUAUUUGAACUGUUUUCUGUACACAUCACUUGUGCCAUUAGCUCGUUAAAACUGAUUCAAUAGAAAUGGAAGACUGCUGUAUUGACUAUAAAUGGCAUGCACAUCAAAAAUGAAAGUGGAAAAUGGUCAAAGUUGUGGAAUUGACUCAUCAAGUAUAGUCCAAACAGUUGGCACAAUUAUGUGGAUUCCUACUUCCUAGCAUGAGAUUGUAGUAGUUGCAGACUAAAUUCCUUAAGUAUCUUUUAAACAUUUUUACUGACCUCAAUAAUUUUAGCAAAAUAGGAGAAGGGUAGCCAUUUGACUUCCACAACUUGGGAUCCUGUAUAACAACCUUCACAGAGUCCAAAUGGAUUCUGUACUUAGCCAUAUCCUCGACAUCCAAGUUCUUGCUAAAAGCAAGAUUUUCGGAAAUGUCUGAGAACAUGUGAAUAAGAUCAUCCAAGCUGCAAAUACAACGCUCCAGUGCUAGAUACACAAAAUCUUGGUCUUGUUCCACUCCGUACCACCGCACUAUGUUUGGAUGCCUAUCUGAUGCAAUAAGAUUCUGAAUCUCUUUAAAGGCAAUAUCAUGAUGAGCCCUGACAAGGCGUUUCACAGCAACUGGACGACCUUCAUAAAUGCCCUCAAGGACAACAGUACCAUUGCUCCCUUUUGCAAUCUCUUUAGUGGUCACAAAUAAUUUGCCAAUUCUACGUCCCUCUAUAUUAAAAGUUGGCUGAGAGAGGUUCAACCACAUAUUCUUAUCAUCAUCAUCAUGCAUAUUCGCACUAUCUCCAUUCGGAUGCGUGUCUAUGUCCUUUUUCUCUGCACUGCUACCACUCUUUCCAGAUUUUCUACUCUUCUUCCUCUUUGAGGGUACAGUUCCUGAACUUGUGUUGCUGGGAUUGUCAACCAACAUGAAUUUUCUUGCAACUAGAUGAUAAAUCACAAUUCCAACAGUAACAGCAAAAGGAAAUGAAGAAAUUGCACCAAUCCUUUCUAAGACCACACUUAAUCGACCACCAGGAGAAAUUUUUAGUUCUUGCACAUUCGGCAUCUCACCAUCUUCUGUCGCUGAAGGCAAAGAAAGUACAAAUUCUUCACCACUGAUGUCAUGAGAAUCUAAAGAUUUGCCAACAUUUUGUUGUGAUGGAAGAAACUCUAGAACUUUGUCAACAUUUGGUUGUGAAGGUAGCAUAGGUUUUGGUAUUGAUGUUGGGAGCAUUAUUUCUGGAGAAUGAGCCUCAGGAAGCCCACCAUGUCUAAGGAAGGGUUCCAACAUGUCAUGAUUGCGGAAGCGGUAUACAAGAGCCAUAGAUUGACAUGGCAAUGGCAUGUUAAACCCGGGUUCAGAAAAUCCUGAAUUCAGGAUAGCUCUGCCAAAUGACCUCUCCAUUUCUUCACAAAGAAAAGCAGCACCGAUUUCAGCCACUGUCAUAUUCCACAGAACUUUGUUUGAGUUUGGAGCAAAAGAUGUCAAUGCAUAAUCUGUUCUAGUGAUGUAAAGGGGGAGCUCAUCAGCCUUAAGGUCUGUAGAUUGAGAAAGUCCAAGUCCUUCAACAGUGCUAUUAUGAAUAACGGUAUUCUCACUGUUGUUCUGCUUUGGGCAUGAAGACUCAGGAGUCCUAUACGUGUAGAUUAGCCUUCCAGUCUUGGCAUCAACAAGAAAUGCGGUGGUUUUUUUGGAACCAAGUACAAUACCACCAUCCUCAGCUAUCUGAGGUGUUGAACUGAUGUACUCCUCAAGAGUCUUUGUGAGUUUCUGGAAAGCACAAGUCAAGACUUAUAAAACAACUACAAUAAAGGUAGAUGAUUAUAGAGAAAUACAUAGAAAAAAUGAGCAGAUGUAAUACCAGAGGAUUGGUAUCAACACUACUUCCGAAGGACAGCAUUGAGCAAUGACCGACACACUAGGACUAAGGAAUUAAGUGUUCUCAUGGAGAGAACCAAGCCUAUACUAAGAACCAGAUGCCACUCACAUGGAUACCUCAGAGUCAGACAGUAUGAGAGCAGAAUCACUCAGACAGCUCUACAGAGGCGACCAGUUUGGCAAACACUCACAAACGUGAUUUUAGAGAAAUUAAUCUUUGAGAAUAGAUUGGAAACCUUACAAAUAGGAAGUACCUGUGAACCACUAUAAACAAAAUCUUAAGGCAUCAAAUUUGUGUAUACAGUAGUGUAGUGUAAAGAAUGUUUUUGACCCAAACUAUUAAACUAUGUAUUCUGAACACAAGAGGCAUGUACGAAAUCAAUCACAUUGGCAGACAAAACAUGUGAUGAGACUAUCUUAGCGGAUGCCUGAGGCAUACUAGCCAAACAAACUGCUUACAGACCCUGUCAUCAAAUGUUAUAUAGGCUCUAAGAAAUGCUAACUCCUCGACAGUAAGAUUUAGAGAUAUAUCAUUCAAAAUCUGCGACCUCCACAUGCGCUCACCAUAUUUAGUAUUCACACAAAAGCAGUAAUUUAAAGCAGAGUGAUACUUCAUUUUAGAGAAAGUGCUAUAAUUGAAUGUACACAGAAUAUCAGACUCGACAUCAUAUCCAUCAAAGUCUUCGAAACAAAAUCUUAGAAAUGUGAUAGUAACAGCAUACCAGUUUUCCAAGCCUGUUAUGAGCAUAUAAUUCCCAGUCAUCCCCCAAAUCAAUGUAGUAAUCGCUUCCUAAUCCAGAUGUAUUUUCUUUAUCCUCAUCCACUGGAGCUUGAUAUGAUGAAUAAAUUUCAGAUCCUGAUUCAAAUGACCAGAGUGGUUUCAUAGAAUCAAGCUCCAACAGAAAAAUUGUCCCAUCCAGAGCAGCGACUAGUGCAGUAUCAGCUUCCCUGAUUUAAUCAAAGAUGAAAUCCACAUGAAUUCUAUGGUUCACAGUGAGAGAAGACUUUCAUUCAAUCAGCACAGCACAAAAUCAGAUUUUGCACAUAAACCUUCUCCAUAUUCUCCAGAAUGUAAAGAAUAUCUUCUCAUCAGCCUUAACCCAAUCAACUAAGGCAAUAGUACGCAACUAACAAAGAAUCAGAAGGGGUAUAAGCAAUUAUGCAAUGCAUUCUGAAAAGACACGUUCUUGCAGUAAACUUAGCUCAAUUAAAAGAGAGGGGGGGGGGAUCCAAAAUUUUUAAUCUUUAAUCAUCAGGUUCUUUCAGCUGAAAUUCAAGCGUUAUACUUUUAACUUUCUGGCAGAAAAUAUAACUGUCCUGCCACCAAUUCAAGUCCACUCUUUUUUUUUUAAAUGGGAGCAUGCUCUAAUUUCAUUUACCCUUGCCAAAAACAUAACAGUAAAUAAAAGAUGGAACUUGUCAACGCCUACAUGUACAAGCUAAUCCCAACAAAAAUACUCCUUUAAGCUUGUUUAAAAAUGUCGAAUCAGCUACUUAAAUUUUGACAGUCAAUUUCACAAAAAAAAAACAACAUAAUUCUACGCUCACAUAAAUAAGGAAAAACAAAUACGGAAAUAAUAAAAACUUAGCAGAAAAACUGACUUGGAAUCAGACAAUAGAGACCGUUUGCCCGGGGUCCGGGGUGGAUUUAACCCAUUCAAAUGUUUUCUCCCAGUUAUGCUUUUGUACGCGUCCAAAGAAUCGGCAGCGAACCCAGAAAAAAUGAAAAUCGAUGCUAAAAAACAAAUCAGAAGAAGCACUGAAGAGAACUUCAUCGGCGAUGUCAAAACUUGAAAGAGAACAAAUCGGGUCAAAAUAUCGUCGGGGCAAGAGCUUCACAUAAUUUAUGAGGAAUAAUCAAGGAGGUAGAUUAAGGAGGAGGAAAUCUACGGGAAGGAAAAUGCUAUGCGGAAGAAAACGGAUAUUCCAAGCUUCCGAGAAUAGCAUUAAACGCGAUGGAUUUCUCGGAGUCCGACGUCGAGGAGGUGGUGGUAGCGGUGGAAUUCAGACUCUUCAGUGGUUCUCUUGCCCAGCCUGCCUAGUCGUUCCUUAAGAAUUAUAAGACUGACGUAGUCAAACUUCGAUCGUGGGUUGUCGUCGAUUAGUAGGACUUGAAUCGUUUUGAUUGGUUGCAUUCAAAUCACGCAUAUGAACUUUCAAGUGGAUAAUAUUUUCCUUUUUUCACUUUUCUUUUAUUGCGGGACAAUUUGCUGAAAAAUACCCUUCACGUUUUCAAGUCUGUUAAACCUUACUGAAUUAUUUCAACAAAGAAAAAAAUAGAACUAUAUAUAAAGUUCUUCCUCCGGAUAAUAAAAAGUUGGUUUUUUUGAAGUAAUUAAAAAGUGAAUUUGAUUCAAUUUGGUGUUUCUGGUGAAAGUAUUAACCAAGCUGCGUCCAUAUGUACCCCCCAAAAAAAAAAAGAACCUACGUCCAUAUGUGUAAAGCUUUAGUAAGGUUUUGUAUUCUCACCUCUGUUGUCAACUAAUAUUUCUUUUUUCACAAUUGCAUCCUUCCUUCUUUUUUCUUUUGUUAACUCACUUCACAUGUCACGAAACGAGGUGCAAUCUUUAAGUGAGGUGAUAAGAUUCCCAAUGUUGAGGGUUAUAUAUUUCUUACACUACAAAAAACAAAAUAAUGCACAAGAUACUAGAGGUGUGUUGGCAAGCCAAACUACUCCGGGAGUGAUCAAACGCUAUGCUCGAACUCGAUUUGAUCGAGUUUUAAUUUGAGUUCGAGUUACUCCGUGCGUAUAAUGAAUCGCAUCUCAAUAUCAGCGUUUGGCACUCAAGUGCUCAAUAAGUCUAAUUUAGCUAUAUUAUUUAUAUAAUAUGUGUAUAUAUGAAUCGUGAAAUGACUAUCAUGGAUUCAUGUUUUAGUAAAAAUCUCGAGUCAAACUCCAAUUUAAUUACGACUAUCUCAAGUUGAGCUUGACUUUAAUAUUAAGUACUUGUUCGAGCUCAAACUCAAGAUCGAGCAGCAUCGAUAUUGAUCGAAGCUAAACUUGAGUAUAGUGCUACUUGAUCUCAACUUGACUUGAUACUGCCCCUAUGCGACACCAGAUAUGCAAUAUUUGUGUUUAAUCAUGUCAAGUAUAAUUGCACUAAUGCUCAUCAUCAAUUGUGAAUGAUUUAGUGAAGGGUUGGUUUGAGUGUUAACAUUAAAGGAUUAUAAAUAAGGGGUUUCAAAUUCAAAAUCUUCUAUUUACAAAAAAAUUUGUGAAUGAUUAGUUUUAUAUGCAACAAAACAUUUUCUUGGUUAAAAAAAAUUUAGAUUUCGACUUUGAUCACCACGAUUGAUCAAAGGCAUGACUCGUAUUAUAAAUUACCACCAUGGAUCAAGACAUAUCUUACAGUCAUAAAUUGCUUACCGAUUACUCAGCAACAUAAAAAAAUUACUCAUAAAGUAGUUGGUUUGGAGUAGUUGGCAACUAAAAGAGAUUUAAGAUUCUUCAUGAAUGUAAGUCAAUAAAUCAAAUCCCUUGACCUGAUUCUAAAUCCAAGAUUUUUUGGAAUAAUUUCACAGGUGGUUCAGUUUCCAAAUUCCCCCUUGACUCCUUUGAAUCCUCUCUCCCAGUAAACUUGUUGGAUUUUUUGGAGUAAGCGUCCAACCAAAAAAAAAAAAAAAGAUUACUCACCAACAUAAGACUUUAAGAAAAACACUUAUUAAAAUCAGAACUAUGACUCUUAGCCCAAGAAGAUAUGGGCUUGCUUUUAAAAUAUUAAUACGUCUCCAACAGAUUUUCAUACGUUAAACCCAAUUGGAUUUGCCUCCAUCCAUCCCAACUUUAAUCUGGGCUAUCGCCCAGUCCCCCUGUAAGGCUAAAACAGUGCCUAUUGCAUGCUUCGUUGCCAUCCCGCUUCAUAAAAUUUUUAACGGCAAAAAUUUAUAAAAUAUUCCGUCCGUCGAGAUCAACCGGCACAGCUGCAGCUUGUGGGCAAGCCCUGCAAAAACCCCCCAAAAAACCUCCACAACUAUUCUGGAAUCCUCAUCAAUUCAUCAUGCUUAAGAGCAAGACCUUUGUCCGAAAAACUAGACAAGGAGCAAUUCGCAAGGUCAGUCUCUUAAUCUCCUUCCCUUCAAUCUACAAUUUUAUAUGUCUUUCGAAAUGAUUUGUUUCUCAAUCUUAGGAUUCUUCUAUUUUAGCUGCUGAGGUCGUAAAUGUCAAGGAAACGCGAAAAAAAACUAGGGUUUUUGCUUUUGAGCUUGAAUUUAUAUUUUUAGUUUGAAUAAAAAUUACACUUGCAGGAAGUCAGGGAGCACUAUCUGAGAGAUGAUAUAUAUUGCGGCGCGCCAUUUUGCAAAGUAUGUGACGUUUCCGGUGCUCGCUUGAGUGACUCUGCCUCCACACUUCUCAUUCUCGACACCAAUGUUGUACUUAAUCAAGUAAAUCGUAACCUGUUUUUAUAUUUGUUAUGUAUACUUAAAAAGAGAUUGCGUAGUAUACUACAGUUAUUUCUGUUGUUGAUUUUUUUUUUGUUGUUGAUGGUUGUUGUAAUAUUAGAUUGAUUUGUUGGAGAAUCCAGCGAUUGAUGAUGUGGUUGUGCUGUCGGUGGUGUUACAAGAGGUUAAGAAUAAGAAUAUUGGUAUAUAUAAUCGCCUUAGGGCUCUCUGCAGUAACUCUUCCAGGAAAUUCUUUGUUUUCUCCAAUGAACACCACAGGUAUUUAUUUAUUUGUGUUUAGACUUAUUCGUCUACGUAAAGUGCAGAAGAUACAUAAGCCCCAAUGUGUAUUCAAAUUAUGUUUAUUAGUAUCCAUCAGACUAUAAUAGUUUGCACUACAGUUGGUAGGCUCUAGGCUUCCCUUACGCAUAGAUAUUUUCACUUGUAACUUUAGGAAUUUGUUUAAAUGUCCGAGUUUUGUUGAUUCACCAACUGACAGAUUGCUGCCUUCGAAAGUUCGAUGAUUUUAGAUCCCUCAAAUGACUUCUUAACGUAAUCAGCUUUUAUAUCAUAAACAUAUUAGUUCGGUUUCAUCUAUGGUGCUGUGAAUCUAGUUUUGAGAAUAGUCAAUGAUAAGUUCUGAAGUCGCAGCAUUGACAAUGUCCUUUGUCACGUAGAUAGUGUAUUUCUUUUACAUGGUUUUAAUUCAUGUUUUCUCUUUUUGAUUGCAAAGGGAUACAUAUGUGAAAGAGAUGGCUGGUGAAACUCCAAAUGAUCGGAAUGACAGAGGUUUGUUGUUUUGCAUUACACAAACAGAAAACACGUGUGCUUUAUCAUGUUAUCAGGGUUGCAAGAUUCAGUCAGCUGUGCAUUGGGUAUUGGGAUGUGCAUGCCUAUGAAUGUUGAGUGUCAAAUACUACAACUUUUCUUCCUUCUAAAUGGUUCACAAAUUACUUCUUGUUAUUUGAAUUGGAUGCUAGACCACUUGUUAUAGUUUUUAAUGGACAUAAAGGGUUUAACAGUGCUUACCUGAUUACAGAAGAUGCUAUAUUUGUGAAAUUUCUGCACAUGCAUGUUACCACGGUUGUCUUCAAGCGAGAUUCUGGUUACAUCACACUUCAGAAUGCAGCUGCUCCAAAUUAUAAAAGAAAUACUCUAGUCUCUCCUGUGAUUAUUAAAAUGCAGAAGUAGUGAAAAAGAUGAUAGUUGCAUGUAUGUUCUUUAAUUGAUGUGUCUGCAUUUGAUCUCAUUUCCUAGUUCAUAAAAAAUUAUAUUUGGAAGUUUCCAGUUUCUUUUGCAGUGUUUUUUCUUGACCUGUUAAGGUUAUUAAACACUUAAAACUUUGAAAGAUGCCCAAAGUUCUUUUGGUCACAUUAAUACGAGAUUCUUAUUUCUUUAUUAGUAUCAGCAUAUGGGAUGUUAGUUUUUUAGCAUUCUCAAUUUUUAAUUUGGUCAAAACCUCCAUGACUAAUUAGUCAAAUGGGAAUGAGCACUUGCCUAAUCUUUCAGACCGAAGUAGUUUUAGACGUUUCACCGUUCAUUUAGCACCUCAUGUUGAUAUCAUGGGGAGGUGUUACAUGGAAUUUCUUGUCUUUUUCUUUUUUCCCUCCUCCUAUACAUGUGAACAAUUUUACUGGCACUACAUAGAAAUUUUUUUGUAUUGUCUUGAAGUCUAAUACUAGGAUGUACCACCGACUUGUUUGUAAUACUCUAUCAGUUAUGGUAGAUGUACAGACAUGAAAGCAUACAACUGUCAAUAUAAGAUGUUAAAAAACCUUUGGUGCUCAAGUAGAGAUGACUUAUUUCAAGACCAUGUAUGGGUGUCCUAAUAAUUUGACUCUAAUAUUAAACUUCAGCAAUCCGAGUUGCAACACAUUGGUAUCAGAGUCACCUCAGUAAUGUUGUUCGUAUCUUACUACUCACAAAUGACCGGGAAAAUAAAAGGAAAGCAUUGGAGGAGGGAAUUUUGGCAGAUACAGGUAUAGCAUAAUCUCGUCAUCAUCUUUGUCCUUGUCUUCAUUACCACUUUAUUGAUGGUCAUUGAGACUAAAAGUGUUGAUGUAGCUGUUCUUUAGCUACUGCUGAGCCAUCAUUUUAUAUAUAGUACUUCAUUCUCAAUGUCAAUUUAUCAUACUGGACAUCCUGUGGCCCAAUAUUUGAUUAAUAAUGUCUAGCUCCUUUUCAGUUGAAUCAUACGUGAAGACACUUGGUCAGCCAGAGUUGCUAGACCUGAUUGUUCAGCCUUCAUCUGAGGAUGUUAACAUGGAAGAUGUGGAGGAUCUGAGACCUUCAAAGAGAAAAGUCAUCUACACUGAGGUAUACCUUGAAUAUCUUGUUUACUUGUACUCUGAUAAACAAUCUUCUGUCUAUUACUGUAUUUACUUGUUAUUUAAUUAUUGUGCAGCAUAAGCCCAUGUCAGAGAUUACUUCUGGCUUGCUUCGAGGGAUAUAUCAUCAAGGAAAACUUCGUGUUAACCGUUACAAUCCAUUUGAAGCAUACGUUGGAAGUGAAAGCAUUGGUGAUGAAAUAAUUAUCUAUGGGCGUGCAAAUAUGAAUAGAGCUUUUGAUGGGGAUGUUGUGACUGUGGAGCUUUUGCCUCAAGAUCAAUGGCAAGAGGAGGCAUCUAUAGCAAUAACUAAUGAAGGUUUUUACUUGUUCUCUUUUCUUUGAGGGCAUUAUCUGGUUAUUGAUGACAUAAACUACAAAAGUAGUGCUUUGGUGUUGAAAAACUAGUCCAAAACUUUCUUACAAGUCAAACAAAAAGGAAAGAAAAUUUUCCUUUGCUUUCCUUUUAUUUUGAUGUUAUCCGAACACUGUCUAGAGGGAAGCGGAGGAGCAAAUUCUUUGUUCAUUCACUUAUCAUUGGAUUUUGGAGGUAAGGUGGUUAAAAUGAGUGUAGUAUCUUGAUACAGGAUGAAGGCAGUUACUUUUCUUACCAAUAAGUUAAGGAUUUGUCCUUCAUUACCUCCAGGGACACUAUUGACUAAGCUUAUAAGUUGAAGAUCCCCACAUACAUGCAUGAUCAGUACUCCUUUACUAUUUGUUUUAUCUGACAUCCAAUUAGUUGCGCAAAUACUCUUCUUGGGAUGGAAGAAGUUUGUGGAUGUAAAUAUGCUUAAUGAUAUGAAUAAAAAGAAAUUUGUUGCCCCUGCACCGCUUCUUGGUCCUGAGCACCAAGUGAUUCUUUAAGUUUAAAUUGUUUGCCAGAAUACUACAAACUUUUUUACUUUGAAGCAGCUGAGGAGUAUCAUCCAGAUACGUGGGCGAAAGUACAUGGACGAAACCAAUACGAAUAACUCUGUUGCCCUUGCUCUGCUUCCAUGUCCUGAGCACUAAGUGAUUCUUUAGGUCUGAAUUGUUUGCCAGAAUACAUGAAAUUGUUUGGCUUCGAAGCUGCUGAAAAUUAUGAUCUAAAUCGAAGAAGCACUUCUCUUUGGAAGGAUUAGUAUGUUAUAGAUAUUUGGCAUUUUUUAAUAUCAAGUAUACAGGCAGUUUUGUAUCUAUAUUUAUGCUGUUGUUCCAACCAACUUUGUUCGGUGGGAUCCAAAUUCCUUCCUAGCUGAUAUUUACGAAUUACUCUAGCUAGUUCUACAUUUAGUUUACAAUCAACUUAGCAUAUCCUUUGUUUCUUUAUCUGCUUCAUUUGAUUCAUCCAUCCCUGUGUGUGUGGUUCUCACCCUUUUCCUCGCAUUGUUUUUCAAUGAUGUCCUCUGCGAGAAAGGAGAAACCUGUGUGUGUGUGUGGAAAUUUGUGUUGAAGCUAUGUGUUUAGUUAAUUUUUUUUCGCAGAGGAUGAUGAGGAAGACGUUCAUCUGCCCCCAAGUAGUUCGGAUGAUGCUCCUAGAGCCACAAAUCUUGUGCAAGGAUCAGCUGGGGUCUCAGGUUCUGUGCCAUCCCGUCCUUGUGGACGUGUUGUUGGUAUUAUAAAACGGAACUGGCAUUCGUAAGUUAAAUACGUUUGUUAUUGAAUUGCUAGUUACCUGCAUGAUGUUAUUUUUUGUUAAAUUUGGUUGGCACUCAUUGUUUCACUCGCCUCUUACCUCUUACCUAUAUAUGAUUUACUAAAUUACUAUCUUGAUGGGUUUUACCCUCAAUUUCAAAAGAGAGUCUUCUUAAUAUUUAAUAUCAUCUGACGCAUUAGACUCCUUGUAUUGCAAGUCUCUAGAUACUGCUCAAUUUUAAAUUACUUACAGAAAACUCGUACAGAUGAAAAUGUUGUGUGGGUUUUUGCCAACUACCUUAAUGCAUUGUUCUUCUCUCAUUGGGCUUUUGGUCUGCAAAUUGCUGUUCGUAGUGAUUGGAGAUUCAUUCAUUUUAACUACUGCUUAGGAUAGUACAGUCUUAAAGUUGCAAACAACUUUUUUAUAUACAAUACGAAUUCUGUAGUGGUCUGGGGGGCAUAACACUAUUUCCUAGGGAUUGCAAUGGAGUGUAGGAGUAUCACCAAUUUUACACUCAUUUCAAUCAUAAAUUCCUUUGCAUAUUGCAUCUCAACCAUCAGCUUGAUAUGCUUAGCUUUUUGCAGAAUUGAUUUACACCAUAAGAAGAAAAUCUUCAUGCUCUAAUUUGAAGGCUAAACAAAUCUUAUUCAGAAAUCGAUUAUUUGCAGAUAUUGUGGUUCGGUGGAGCCAAUGCCUAUGCCAGCAGGCAGUGGUGGUGUUGCCCAUGCUUUAUUUGUAUCCAAAGACCGUAGAAUUCCUAAAAUCCGCAUACAAACGCGUCAGCUGGGGAACCUUUUGGACAAGAGGAUUGUUGUUGCUGUUGAUAAAUGGGAUAUUUUGUCUCGAUACCCAUCUGGUCAUUAUGUGAGGACAAUAGGAGUAAUAGGGGACAGAGAUACUGAAAGUGAGGUACGUUGCUAUGUCAUUGUUACACUUACAGUUCUGAAACAGAGUUUUGCAUUAGCUCUGUAUCUUCAUGGUGUUUGUUUUCCAUCUAUUGUAGUUAAACAUGAUUUUUCUCCUUUAUACUUGUCAUACUGAACUUUCUAGUCAUCUGUGUUCUUUAUAUGAGCUUGAGAUGCUUAAGCCAAAACAGCUGGGUAUAACAUAUUGAUUCAUCACAAUUUAUGUAUAACAACUAUAUUCUCUUGUCAUGUGUUUCAGGUUGUGCUGUUAGAGAAUGAUGUAGAAUUCAAACCAUUUUCCUCUCAAGUUUUAGCGUGCUUGCCAGCGUUGCCUUGGUCUGCGUCUACUGAAGAUCUUGCAAAUCCUAUCAGGCAGGAUUUGCGACAACUCCGUGUAUUUAGUGUGGACCCUCCAGGUAUGUAGUUCCAUUUAUAUUUCUGAAGUUUUUCUUCAAUUUCUGUUUUACUAUUUCUUUUUUGAUAUUUUUCUAGUUGUUCAUUAACACCUGUCUUAUGCUUAUCAUGGUGCAUUAGGAUAGCUUUGUUGUGUAUUUCUAGUUUUAGCUGACAUUCUUAUUUUCAUCUGGUGCAGGAUGCAAGGAUAUUGAUGAUGCAUUGCACUGUACAGCUCUUCCUGAUGGAAAUUUUGAAGUGGGAGUUCAUAUCCUUUGAGUUACAUUUGUCCUUUUCCUGUGUCACCUUACAGUACUCGUUACUGACUUUUCCCUAGUCUUCCCUGGAUGGUAAGUUGGGUUUUGUUGGGGGCGGGGGCGCGGGGGGGAGGGGGGAGGAGGAGGAGGAGGAGGGGGUGAUGUUUUAGGUGUGUUGGAUUCUGCAAAAGAAAUAAUGAGCUACCAUGAGUAGUGCUCGUGUCAAUUUUAUUCUUUAACAACAUAUCAAAUAUUGCUGAUGUCACAAACUUUGUUCACUCUGGAACACCACUUGAUGAUGAGGCUGCAAAAAGGGGUACCUCAGUCUACCUUGUUGAGCGCCGAAUUGACAUGCUCCCUAAACCCCUAACAGAAGGUGAUACUUGCUUUGCAUUUGAAAAAAAAAAUGCACCAUAGAUUUAUGAAGAUUUUGCUGAUUUUCGUCUAUGCAAUAACAGGAUAAGUUUUUGUUGAUUUUGCAGAUAUAUGUUCACUCCGAGCUGAUGUUGAGAGAUUAGCCUUCUCUGUGAUUUGGGUAAAUUGUUCCUCCGUACAUGAUCAAAUUUCUGCUAUCCUUUGUCCUGAUUUUUCAGUCGAAAAAUUUUCUGUAAUCCCCACUUUGGCAAGUGGCAUGAAUGUACAAACGUGGUACUAUAUAGAGUUUAUCCACGUGUUGUACUUAACAUGGUAACACUUCCAGUAUGCUGUAUCUUGACAUUGACCACUUAUGAUGGGAUUUAGUUGUUUUAAGUGUUUGCUCCGUGAUUGUGGGCACUGUUUUAUCAGAUGUCAUUUUUAAGCUAAUUUUUUCCUGAAGAAGUGGUUAUAAGUCCAAUUUCUUCCUGUGUUGUUCACUCGAUCAUGCUAGCAGAAGCUUAUGCUGUCACUCAGAUAUUACCAGGUCAAUGAUACUAGGUCAUGAACAGACCCAGAAGAGGAGUAUUUUAAUAGCCACUUCAAUUUCCAUAAGAGUUACAUUCUUUUUUGGUUUUUGGAAGCAGUUAUUAAUGAGCUACAGUUUCAUUUUGACAAGCAAUAGCAAAGAUUUUACAGUCAAAAUGUGCAAUUUAAUGAGUUGUCAUGGUUCUCAGUUUGUUGAAUUUAUCUUGUCUAGUAAAUAAAUACGUGUCACUACACCGUCUACAGGGACUUUUUUCUUUAACACAUCAGUUAACAUGUUAAACGCUUCUCCCUUUCAGGAAAUGACUCCUCGAGCAGAGAUUAUUUCCACGAAGUACACAAAAAGUGCAAUAAAAUCAUGUGCAGCUUUGUCAUACGUUGAAGCUCAAGCAAGGAUGGAUGACAGGUGCUCCUAUAUUUUAUUUCUAUUGCAAAUUGUUUUCUUGAACUUGAGGACAGACAUAUCUCUGAAAGUACCAUAUUACUAGUUUGUUUCAGCAUUAUGGUGAUAUUUGCUUUGAAUCAUAAAUGAUGUUUUUCAAGUAAAAAUUGGACUAUGUUGCUUGAAUAAUGAGCUGUGAUGUUUAUAUAACAUGUUGGAUAUUGGGGUUAUUGUUUAUGUUACUUAUUGUACUAUUACCUUUCUUAACUAACCUCCUCUUUAAUAUCACAAAUAUUUUUUAUUCUUUAUCUGCAGUCGACUGGUGGAUCCAUUAACUACUGAUUUGCGAAAUAUGAAUGCUUUAGCGAAGGUAUUGGCACUAGUUGUUUCAGUCAUUUUCCUCAUCCCCACAUUUGGGUGUGUGCGUUUAUUAUUGUGGACUACAUCUUGAAUUUUGCAGAUCAUGAGGCAGAGACGUAUUGAUAGAGGGGCACUUACUCUUGCUUCUGCUGAAGUCAAAUUUCAAAUUGAUACUGAAACUCAUGAUCCCCUUGAUAUUGGUAUGUCCACGCUCUUCUAUUUGUGUUUACAAUCUAUACCUUUAGAACCUGCAAUUAAGAAGUGCUCUUGACCUCUUGACAAGCAGAUAGCAGUGUCUAGAUUGGGCAGAAAUUCAUUUUAGUGUCCGAACUGCUGAAGUUAGUGUUGGACCAAUGUUGCCAACACCUCUUCUAUGAUUCCUGUAUAGAAGUUUGCAAUGUUGAGCAAAGAUUACUUAGUGUGGGUUUUUUGUUUGGCUUGUUGACAUUGCCAUCUUGAGAUGUGACCUUGAAAUUCAAAUAAACUAGCAUAUAACAUCUAUUACCAUCAUCACACCAUUAUAGGACAACAAAAGUAAAAGUUAAUGAUCACCCCUCCCCUAAUCACCAUUUUGACUUGUUUGCUGUAAUCUUGUAUAAGAGAUAGUAGAUGUUCAUAAAUGUUUUACUGGACGUGGUCAUUUACUUGUCAUUGGCUUAUGAAUAUUCGCUAUCCUGUUUUUCGGCCAGAAUCAUAGUUAUAUUUUGCAUUAACCAUGUUUUAGGAAUGUAUCAAAUAAGAGAAGCAAAUCAAAUGGUUGAGGAGUUUAUGCUUGCAGCUAAUGUUUCAGUUGCUGAAAAAAUUCUCAAACAUUUUCCCCUGUGCUCAUUACUGAGGUACAGUAUAUAUUCUUUUUAGUUGUUCUUUGUUGCAAAUUCUAACACUGACAGAAUUACUUUUUGUAAUACUACUGUCUUUUACUUACCUUUUGGAAUGAAAUUGACAUUCAUUUUCCGUUAAUUUCAACAAAACAUGCUUUCGUUACUCUCUCUCUCUCCCCCCCAAAAAAAAAGUGUGUAUUAUGGACAACUGGACUUUUAAUUAAGCAUGCUGAUAAGAUGGAUUUUCUGGGAUGCAGCAUUCUCAGAAAUUGUAAUAUGGGUCGGCAACUGACUUACUGAUUAUUAAGAAAUAAAAAGGUAAUGGAAUUGGAUUAAUUAACCGGACAAACUGCUAAUACUCUGGACAAUAUCCAAUAUUUUUGACUGACAGGAGAAUAGUAUGCGAAUCUCAGUCUACCUUCUCAUUAAUCUCCCCUUCUUCUGGCUGCAUUCUGUUAAUUACCCUGCUGUCAGUCCAAGGGUGACAUGCAUCACUAUGUCUUAUUGUAGUGUUUGAGAUCUAUCUGUAGGUGUGGCUGUGCAGUUCUUUAAUGUGUCUUGGGCAGUAAAUUAUCCCAAUUGUGCUUUCAGAAGGAUUUCAUUGGUGCAUGUAUUUUCCUUUUUAUAUAGUUAGUGAGAUAGUGAAGUCUAAAUACUAGUUGCUUAGGCUGUUCUGUUGAUUUUCAUAUUAUUAAUCUAUUGCAACUAUAACAUUUGCAGACGACAUCCUACCCCUACAAAAGAGAUGCUUGAACCUUUAAUUCGAACAGCUUCAGCUGUUGGUCUCCAAUUGGAUGUGUCAUCCUCAAAAGCACUUGCUGAUUCGCUUGAUCGUGCUGUGGUCAGAAAAGGAUUGGAUUUUUCGUACUUUUGUUUUUUGCAAUUAUAAAUUUGUUUGCUUUCAUGAAUUCUUUGGCGUGUGGUUUCUGUUUGUCAUUUUUUCCCCAACUUGCUACUACUUUAAAAUGUGAUGCAUAUGUUACAUGAGCUUGUGCUUGUUUGAAGAUACUGACUUUGACAUUAAUUUCCUUCUUUCUCUAGCAUCAUCUUUAAUUUCUAGUGUAACGUAAUAUCUGUAAUUAAGUCCCUCUUGAUUCAGAAGGAAGUAGUUCCAAUGAAACUAUUAGUGAAAGAAUGAUGAAACAAGCUAGAAAUACCUUUUGCAUCUAAAAUCCAUGCACAUCUUCAAGUCUCUGGGUGGGUUUUGAACAGCCACAUUGAGUCUGGCUGGCAUCAAUAUAGUUAGAAGGGUUUUAAUGCAUCCUAGAUCCAUGUGUUUAGGGGUACAACUUUGCAUAUAAUUGGAGGAUCUGCUUUUAAGUGAGUGAUUCAUCUCUGUAGCUUUUUAAUAGCUGGCAACUGUCCUUAAAUGAGGUAGUAAUGGUAUUAUAAAUCUAAACUCUAUGUCUCUUUGCUUUGCUUCUUUUUACUUCCUAGGAUCUCUGCCAUUGCAUGCAUGUCAAUGUGUAAGUGUUAUAUAAAUGACACUUUCUUUGCUUAUUUUUCUUGAAUGAUAAAUAACACCACUUGACUGUUCUUUUUUCUCCAGGGUGGUGACCCUUACUUUAAUAAGCUGAUUCGUAUUCUGGCAACUAGAUGCAUGUCCCAGGUACUUCCAUUUCUAUAAAUAGUUUAUUUUCAUUUAAAUACUGUGCUAUGAGAUGUUUCAGUCAUUCUUUAUCAAAUUUAUGUUCUUCAAAUUCAGGCAGUCUACUUUUGUAGUGGAGAGCUCACUCCUCCAGAAUUUUAUCACUAUGGUCUUGCGGCACCUCUGUACACUCAUUUCACCUCUCCCAUUAGAAGAUAUGCAGGUAAUACAAGUCCUUUGUGAUCUUUGAUCAACUUGUGAAAGCUAAUGACUGAACCUUAUGGUAUUUUUCUCCGUUGUAGAUGUGAUUGUACACAGGUUGCUUGCUGCAUCCUUGGGAAUAUAUAGGCUUCCUGAUGUACUGCAGGACAAAGCUCAGCUUACAAGUGUUUCUGACAGUAAGAAUCACAUCACUUACACCUUCAUAACUUGUUCUCUUUGUAACUAUCACUUACAUAAGGUUGCUGAAGUGCAUGUAAUACAUCUUGGUUGAUUGAGUUGUUCAAUUGGGUUUCCUUUCAAUCAAAGAAUUAACAGUUUCAUGGUCGAAGCUUUGCUGGUGGUCUUGUAAUAUGGAGUUUUGAUUCACUUAGCUGGAUAUUUGUUUCUGCUCCUUAUUAGCACUAUUUACUCAUCGCAUUUUUUUCACUUGCAUAAACUUUUCAAAUAGAAAAGUUGGUGGGGUUUAUGUACUGUUUGACAUAACGUAGCUACGACUUCAUUUUUGUUUCAUUAUUAGCUGAAUAUUGCUGAAGAGUUCCAUUGAAUCUUUCUUCAAAGCAAUGCUUGGCUCUACUCUUUUCAUUCCAAUAUGCAUGGAUAUUUUUCUUGUGUGGAUAAGUAACAGAACUGAAUGGGGAAACAAAUAAUAUGAGUUAAUGAAUUUCGAAUAUUUAAUCAUGUAGCCAUGUCACUGUAGAAACUACACUGUCUAGCAGACUCUGGAUGUCCAUAUACUUCUGUCCACUAGAAAAAUGGUGUGACAUUCUUGAAGUCAACAAAAUGUGGUAUUUUGAAGCUUCAUUGAUGAUUGAAGCAGCCUUAUUGGGUUCCUCUUGUUUUUAUCUUCGAUUAAUAAAAUUGAUAAAUAAUGAUAUGUCCCUUGCCAUUGUGAAAGUCUCAUCACAUUCAUUGUCAUCUUGCUUGAAUCAGUUUGCAUUUCUUAUUCCUCGAAUGUGUUUGACUUAUGUUCAUCAAAUUUGGUUCUGAAACUUGCUAUUGUAAAUGGGUUCUUAGACUUAGUUUUGACGUUUGCAUAUUGUAUUAGAUUCUGGUAAACAUUUUGACUAGUGCCUAUUUCAAACAGAUCUAAAUUAUCGGCAUAGGAAUGCACAAAUGGCUGGUCGGGCCUCAGUUGAGCUUCAUACUCUCAUAUAUUUCAGGAAUAGGCAAGUAUUUUAUUUUUGAGGAGUCUUUUUCUCCCCCUCUGCUUUCUUCUCCCUAUCCAAGCUACCGCAUGCUCUCUCUCUCUCUCUCUCUCUCACAUAUGUAAUUUUGUUAUUCUACUAAUGCAGGCGGACAGAUACUGAGGCCAGAAUAGUGAAAAUACGAGCAAAUGGUUUCAUAGUUUUUGUGCCCAAGUACGUUUUGUUUCCUUGCACUUUAAUUUACAUAAUGUGCAUCUCCUGUAUUUUAGUUUGCUUUCAUCAGUACAGGGCAAUCAUAAAAUUUCACAACUUUAGCUCUUUUAAUUGAUUGGCUAAACUUCUGAUCUGAGCUUCCAAAACCCAAUCCUCUGUCCCUACAGUGGCAUUUAUGAUAAAACUGUCCUGACAUGGUGAAAUUUGAAUUUGAUUAAUUAUUUAACAAUGAGUUCUUUUUUUAUUAUUAUUAAAAUGCAAAAUUAGAGCAAUUUGUUUGUUUGACUGGAGUCCACCUAAAAAAAGGGAAGUAGCGGACCUCUCGUGGAAAUAGUUUCAGGUUGCUUAUUUUGAGAAUCCUUUCCCAAUUAUGUUGCAGGUACGGUAUUGAAGGGCCAGUUCAUUUGAGCAAGGAGGGAGAAUGGUUGGUUGAUGAACAGCAGCAGAGGGUUAGAAAAAGUGACAAUAGUGUUCACUAUGGCGUUCUUCAAACAGUGAAGAUUCAUAUGGAGGUUGUGGAGCCCCAACCCCACCGGCCGAAACUCCAACUAACCUUAAUUAACGAUACAGAUGUUACGAUAAUGUGAGAAAAAUGUCUGCUGAUUUGUUUUCCUUGCAGUAGAAUUAGCCGUGUACAGAGUUGUAGGUUUAGUCAUUCUUGGUCUGGUUGUGCCGUGUUGUAGUUGUAAUGAUGCCGGAAUGCUCAUUUUUCCAUGGAGAGUAAUCUAAUUCUUUUCCAUUGUUUGUUUUCAUGGAAAUCCUGCAAAAAAUGAUUUUUCGUUUUUAUUCUAACAUUUUUCUUUCUGGAUGGAUUGCUGUUGAUAAUGAAGCUUCGGGUUUGACUUGGGUUCAUCGCUUCGUUUAAAAGAAAAGAAAAUUUUGGUUCGUUUCCUUGUUUCAGAAUUAGAACUUGGUUUAUUCCCACUGAUGAUGCUGGAUUAUGGAAUCCUUGAAGAUUGCCUUAAAUUGAGCUGCAAAGCCAGGAGUAUGACAGGGCUUUGUGCUUCUUUUUUAAAAAGAAAAAAAAAUUCAAGUACGGAAUUUAAGAAACUGGAGUAGAGAGAGGAAAGGAAGAUUUGAAUUAAAAAAAAAUUAUGUAUUCUAAGGCUUCCAAAAAAGAAAAAAAAGAUGGUGACCUCUUCAUUUUCUCCUUUCUCUUUCAUUGGUAGUCCCUCUCUCCCCCUCUAUUGCAUCUUUUUCUUUCCACAACAGGCUGCGGACACUCGGACUCCUCUUCCUUUAACUGACCCAACUUGGAUUUUUUUUAUGGGGUGAGUGUAUUAUUUCGAUGAAUUAAUCUCAAAUCUGUAUAUUUCUAAUUCCAUCGAGUUUUGGAGGAAAAUUUUUUUCUUUCCAUCACAUUCUUUGCAUUCUAAUAAGAGAUUUGGUGACAGAGGGUUGCUAGAUAGUGUUUUAGUCAGAGAUAUGGUGGUGGGGUGAGAGUACAAGGAGUUAGACAUAGAAGAAAAAGAGGAUGAAUAGAUUGAAAAGGGAAAAAAAAGGAAAAAAAAAAAUAUAGGUAAAAAAUGAUAUUAAAUUAUAAUACUUAUUCCUUGCAAAUAUUUGCCAAACACUAGUUAUUUGAAUAAACCCUCAUGAAAAACCCAUACUCAUUUUUUAGAAAUGAUUCCAAUUACAAUUCCGAUUCCUUAGGUUGAGCCAAACGCCUCUUUGUCUUAUUUGCCUCUUUUUGUUGUUUUACAGAAUUUACCCUUUAACAAUGUGAAAAUAAUUUGCCUAGCAGUGCAGGGGUAAUCUUGUUAAAUCGGAUCGACUAGAUCCAAGGACGGACAUGAUUGGAAGUGAAGCAAGAUUAAUCGACAUCUUUAGACAAUACACCAGAUUUUCCCAGCUCUGACAUUUUCCGUGAGGGGAUAUGUGGAAUUGAUGGUCCUCCAGGGAUGCAAAAUCUUAAUCCGACACUCACUCUUGCAUAAUACAAGUGAAUGUCUGGGUAAACGGAUAUGGGGAUCAAGAAUUAAUGAUACCUAUAUCUAUUGUUUGGUAGACUAUAUUAGGAAUCAUUUAAUUUGGAAAGAAAGUGUUAGAGUGUAUCAUUCCUUAUUUAUAUCUUGGCUUCUAAAAUAAUUAUAAUAAUAAACACUUGUAUUUGUUGUAGAGUUUAUGAUCUCAUCUCCACCAGAUGUGGAAUAGAACUAAACAUAUAUUGGGAGUUUACGGGUUUUGCGUUUUAUCUGCAUAAUUAAUAUUUUCAAGUAUCGUCAUUUAUUAUUCAGAGUAUUUCAUUCAAAAGUGUAUGUUUAUAAAUAAAUUAAUAUAUUUCUACUUGUUAUUUGAUUAAUCACAAUCAAAUAUUUAGAGCCAUUUUUAGGAAUAAGAGUGGUAAAAGUUGACGUAUCAUUAUUCUCCACCUAUUCGCUUAGAUUUCAAAAAUCGGCACAGUGAAGUUUAUUUCAGAAUUAAAAAGCCAUCUAAUGGAACAAAUAUGUAGAGAUGACACCUGUUCCACUGGUGACUUUCCUGAUUCCCGUCUCGAUUCCAAAACCCAAACCAAACGGCAGAAUUAUUGGCAAAUCAAUUCCAAGUAAACACUACUACACCUUUUUUUUUUUUUUUGUUAUUUCCUUUUUCUAUGUCAACUGUAGUAAUGAAAAUGUUAAAAGGCAAAAAGCGGAAGGAACAGACACCUAAUACACUGUCGUUUUGGUCGGCCUCAACCUGAAAGGCUGAAACCGACAAUAAUUCAGAAAGUCUCUCUCUGAUUGUCUCCUCAAUCUUUUCUGCAUGCAUAAAUCCAGAACCGAGUAAUCAUACAGAAGAAACUGAGGGUUCAAUACGUCGUCGCUGUGAGUUGCAAAAAAUGUAUCAGUGGAGGAAAUUCGAGUUCUUCGAGGGAAAAUAUGGGGAAAGAAUCACAAUCCCGGAGGAGAUCAGUGGCAAAAUUGAAUGUUGUUCCAGUGGCCGAGGAAAAGUUGUACUGGGAUGCGACGACGGCACCGUUUCGUUGCUGGAUAGAGGGCUCAAGUUCAAUUCUCAAUUCCGAGCUCAUUCUUCUUCGGUCCUCUUCCUUCAACAACUCAAGGUAGCGUGGCUUCACAUUUGAUCAAUUUUCUGUCAGAUUUCGGAGCAUUAGUAUACUAGCAGUAAGUCUUAGUUUAAUUAUCAUUUCGUUGGCAAACUGAUUGUUCCGUUUGCUGGCUGCAUGAUCAGCAAAGGAAUUAUUUGGUGACUGUUGGAGAAGAUGAGCAAUUGUCCCCGCAAUUUUCAGCGGUGUGUAUGAAGAUUUUUGAUCUGGAUAAGGUUCAACAGCAGCAUGAGGAGGAGGGUCCCAGCACCUUCAGUCCCGAUUGUGUUCAGAUUUUGCGAAUUUUUACUAACCAGUUUCCUGAAUCUAAGGUAUACUAGGAUCGUGAAUGUUGCUUUUUAGCAAUUUAUUGCAUCCAUUUUUAAUAGGUUAAUUUGGUUAAGAGACCCUGCUUAGAUAGUCCUAAUUAACGAAUGAAAGGGCAAAUUUUUGGCCUAUAUGCUUAACGGGUACAGAAUUUACUGCUAAAUUUAUUAGAAAAAUGUAGAUACUGAUGUCCUGUAAAGCUGUGCUCUCUUUAUAGAUUGAGUAUUCGAGCUUGCCGCUUUUGACAACUUUUAUGUUUUAAUGUAUAUGAUGUUGGUUUUGGUUUGUCAAAAGGAGUAUAAUUAGAAGAACUAUUAUUGAUGUGUGCAGAUUACGUCCUUCUUAGUAUUGGAGGAGGCUCCACCUAUAUUGCUUGUUGCUAUUGGAUUGGAUAAUGGUUGUAUCUAUUGCAUUCAAGGGGACAUUGCUCGUGAGCGUAUCAAACGCUUCAAACUUCAAGCAGAUGCUUCCAUUACGGGCCUAGGGUUCCGAGUGGAUGGUCAGGUUCUUCAGCUAUUUGCAGUUACUCCAAGUUCAGUACAUUUGUUUAACUUGCAUACUCAACCUCCUACUGGUCAAAUGCUCGAUAAUAUUGGAUCCGAUGUCCCUAGUGUUGCUAUGAGUGAUCGCUCGGAGCUGAUCAUUGGACGACCAGAGGCAGUGUAUUUUUAUGAAGUUGAUGGUCGGGGACCUUGUUGGGCUUUUGAGGGAGAGAAAAAAUUUCUUGGAUGGUUUCGUGGAUAUUUGUUGUGUGUUAUUGCUGACCAAAGUACUGGAAAGUAUUCUUUCAAUGUUUAUGAUCUGAAAAAUAAGUUGGUUGCACACUGUGUUGUAGUCAAAGAAGUUUCUCACAUGCUUUGUGAAUGGGGUAAUAUAAUACUCAUUAUGGCUGACAAAUCAGCCCUAUGUAUUGGUGAGAAGGACAUGGAAAGUAAACUAGAUAUGCUUUUUAAGAAGAGUCUUUAUACAGUAGCCAUCAAUAUUGUACAGACCCAACAAGCUGAUGCUGCUGCAACUGCUGAGGUGCUGAGGAAAUAUGGGGAUCAUUUAUACUGUAAACAAGAAUAUGAUCAGGCUAUGCAUCAGUACAUAGACACAAUUGGUUAUCUCGAACCCUCGUAUGUUAUACAGAAGUUUUUAGAUGCACAAAGAAUUCACAACCUUACCAAUUACUUGGAGAAAUUACAUGAGAAAGGACUUGCAUCAAAAGAUCACACCACUCUGCUCUUAAACUGUUACACCAAACUGAAAGAUGUCGAGAAGUUGAAUCUGUUCAUCAAAAGUGAUGAUGGUGGUGGGGAAACUAAAUUUGAUGUAGAGACUGCUAUAAAAGUGUGCCGAGCUGCAGGUUAUCAUGAGCACGCGAUGUAUGUUGCGAAAAGGGCUGGGAAGCAUGAAUUGUACUUGAAGAUUCUGCUUGAAGACUUGGGGAGGUAUGGUGAAGCAUUGCAAUACGUCAAUAGUCUUGAACCAAGUCAAGCUGGUGUAACAGUUAAAGAAUAUGGUAAAAUUCUGAUUGAGCACAAGCCUGCUGAGACAAUUGAUAUACUUAUGAGGCUAUGUACAGAAGAAGAACCAGCCAAAAGGGGCACCUCAAGUAGCACAUAUGUGUCGAUGUUGCCAUCUCCUGUUGAUUUUAUUAAUAUCUUUGUUCAUCAUCCCCAGUCACUUAUGGAGUUUCUUGAAAGAUAUACUAGUAAAAUGAAGGACUCACCUGCUCAAGGAGAAAUUCAUAACACGCUCUUGGAAUUGUAUUUAUCCCAUGACCUGGACUUCCCAUUCAUCUCGCUGACAAAUACUGGUGAAAAUGGUGCUGUGAUUUCUAAAGGACAUUCCAAUGGGAGAACAUUUAUUAAUCGACCAGAUGUAAGUGAGGGAAAAGAUCGUCGGGAAAGAUUUCAAAAGGGUCUAAACUUGCUUAAGGGUGCAUGGCCACCAGAACAAGAUCAACCAUUGUAUGAUGUUGGUCUGGCCAUAAUUUUGUGUGAAAUGAAUGCUUUUAAGAAUGGGCUUUUGUUUCUUUACGAGAAGAUGAAACUGUAUAAAGAGGUGAUUGCCUGUUACAUGCAAGCACAAGACCAUGAGGGUUUAAUAGCAUGCUGCAAAAGACUUGGGGAUUUGGGGAAAGGUGGUGAUCCUUCUCUUUGGGCAGAUGUACUGAAAUAUUUUGGUGAACUUGGGGAAGACUGCUCCAAAGAAGUAAAAGAAGUGUUGACUUACAUUGAGAGGGAUGACAUUCUACCACCUAUUGUUGUUCUUCAGACCCUUUCUAGGAAUCCAUGCCUCACUCUCUCUGUCAUCAAGGAUUAUAUAGCUCGCAAGCUGGACCAUGAGUCAAAGCUCAUUGAAGAAGAUCGAAGAGCCAUUGAGAAGUACCAGGUCUGUGUUCUUUAUAAAGUAUAUACAUUAGACAGCUUCUUUUUGUCACCAAAAUCCUUUUGAGUGUGCGUGCCAAUGGUUCUGAAUCACCUUUGAGUAGGAUAGAUCGCUUUAUGACUUCUAAGGGCUUGGACAUGCAGCAAAUUUGGUCUCUCUCUGUCUCUGAAUUUGCAGAUGGGUUAAUGUUUUUAGAUAUCUAAACCAAACGUUAAGUUGUAGCAUUCUGUAAGUUCUGGAAAGACUCAUUUGUUGGAUUGUGAGAACACGCUUUUGUGCAAACGUUUGAACUUUUACUUAUGUAGUGUGUUUUAUUUGAUUUUAGAUAAAGUAAAUGAGUUGAGGUCAUAAAUAUAACAAUCAUUUACUGCUUUUAUAAAAAUCUUAGUCUUAGUAAAGUGUGUGGCCUUGGGAAUACGAGCAGGAGGGUGCUGGGACAAGGGAGGGGAAACAUGGGAAAUGUGGUGCCAAUUUUGUUGAGGUUUGCAGUUGGGGAUUGUGGGGUUCAGCAAAGCAGAUCCAAAGAUGAAAAGAAACUGAAAGGAAAAAGGCCCAAGGCUCUGGUUCUGUUUGGGUAACACAGGGUUUGGUGCUUAUGCUCAAGCAUUAUAGUGUGCACUGACUCUAGAAUGGAGAAUUUGCUGAGGUUAAAGUGGAUACCAGAAGAGUUGUCUAUGCCAAACAUUUAAAUUAUCUUCUAAACGCUUCUUGGUGAUUAUGUGACAUAAUCUUGGGCUGCCCAUGUCAACCAAUUUCAGUUUGUUAGCCUUGACGUUUUGCAGUUAGUUAACUUGGGGUCUUUUCAUUUUUUUGUUUUGUUUUUUUGGAAAAAAAAGGGGGGGGGGGGGGGGGUUGGUGUUCAUAUACAAGGUUUUCUUUUUGGAAGUACUAGGUUUUGCAUUUUAUGGACUCCUUUUGUAGUCUAGAAAAACAGUGCACAAUUGUGUACCUCUCUUGCCACUUUUCCAAUUUUUGGUCAUGCAUUAAAUUUUGUUAAUCACCCAAGUCCCAACCUAUGAUGGAAGAGGAAGAAAGGAGGUUCAUGGGUAGGUGUUUUUGUGCUAAAAUAUAUACACACAAGGAAGUCAGAUAUUACUUUCCUGACAUUCAGUUUGCCUGUGUAUGCCUUACAAGCAGAGAAAGUAAUUAGUAUGCCGCAUGUGCAGUCUGCUUCAUUGUUACUGUUCAUGGAAAUAGUUUUCUUGUUUAUGCAAGUCUAAUUGUUUUCUUUUGAGCUGGAAAUAGUUUCUUCAUUCCUUAGGAUGGGUUGCAAGCAUAUCCAGUCUGCUCCAUCAUUACUAUUUACAGAAGUAGCUUUCUUUUUAUGUAAUUCUAACCGUUCUCUUUUAAGCUAAAAUAGUGUUCUUCAUUCCUUAGGGUGGGUUGCAAGCACCAUGUGCCUUGUACCUUAUUACGACAUGCUCUUGCACCAUAAAAUUCUUUUCUGCUGGGUUAUUAAUGCAAUUGAAAUUUUAUGACAUCUCUCUUAUUCUGCAGGAAGAAACAUCAGCAAUGAGAAGAGAAAUUCAGGAUCUCAGGACAAAUGCAAGAAUAUUUCAGCUUAGCAAGUGUACUGCAUGCACUUUUACACUUGAUCUUCCUGCUGUGCAUUUCAUGUGUAUGCAUUCAUUUCACCAGCGCUGCCUUGGUGACAAUGAGAGAGAAUGCCCUGAGUGUGCUCCAGAGUACAGAUCUGUCUUGGAAACCAAGAGAAGCCUUGAGCAAAAUUCCAAUAACCAAGAUCAGUUCUUCCAGCAUGUUAGAAAUUCGAAAGAUGGGUUCUCUGUGAUUGCUGAAUACUUUGGGAAGGGGAUUAUUAGCAAAACUAGUACCAGACAGGCCGGUGCUUAGAUGAAAUGCGUUACUUUCAACCCAACUUCCAUCUUAUGUGUGCAAAUCUUUGUUUCUCUUUAUGGAAGUUCAACAGGAGAAUGUAGCAAUUAAUAAUGAGUAUAGCCAAGUCUUGAUUCAUUGCUAUAGUCAUCAACAAAAGUAUAUGUCGCGAGAAUGUGCGUCUAGAAGAACAUCAAAACAUAUGCGGUCUUGCUGAAUUUUGCCGUCUCUAUCGAACUUCAAACCAAGUUUGCGAGUGUGUUAUGUAUGUUUCAAGUUCCACGUAAUCCCCAAAUCUCUUCAUUUCAAUUUGAAUUUAAGCUACAUGGUGUAUUGUGCCUUUCUCCAACUUUGGGUUGUUCUAAUGGCAGGUUUUUGUCUCUGACUUUUGGGUUGUUCAAACGGCAGGUUUUUGUGAUACUUCAUGUAAUCAUGGUUUAUAUUGAAAUUCUUGAUGGUUCAACGAUUUUGUAAAAGAUUCACAAAAUAUUGACUGAGAAGUAUUUCUAACUGGGGCUCCAUGCCCAGAUGAGCUAUUAUUAUAAGCUGUGCAGAUGUUUUUUAAUCUUGGACCAAAUCUUUACUUCUGGAGAAUUGGUGAGCAAGAAGGCUUCAAGUCGACCUUUUCGUAGGCUAUUGGAACGCAGAUUCAGAUCCCAUCAAUUUGGGGUUCAACGGUGGAGUCUUAAAAUCUUCCAACAUUGAACAUUCUUUUCUUUUUUCUUUUUUCGUUCCUUUUUAAACAUCUGGAGAAGGGAGCUAGACAAGAAGCAAGUGUAAAUUUCAAUGCAUGAAAUUGAAAACCAAAUACAAAUGCUUGUCCGUUGCUAAAAGAGCAUGGCGACUCUCAUGAUGAACUUAAUGGACCAUUAUUUACAUUGAAAAAAAAUCGAAACAAAAAAUCCAAUAAUCAGAAUUGUAAUACAGAAAUCCAUAUUAUGAAAAAAAAAAUCCAUAUUGUAAUCCAACCAAUCUCGUAUGCUUCGUUUAGACUGCUACGG
RNAcentral lists this long non-coding RNA (66047 nucleotides) under Coffea arabica (coffee). RNAcentral's name for it is "long non-coding RNA (CARA_LNC004918)". The record is from RNAcentral. Lineage: Eukaryota; Viridiplantae; Streptophyta; Magnoliopsida; Gentianales; Rubiaceae.